UAACUGUGCUGGGAGAACUUGAGGCAAAGUUGGUGUAAAUUUUUGAAUGCAUUUUGUCCUAUUGAAUUGGUUAAAUGAAAACAUAGAAAAUGGGGUGUAAUUUUUAGUAAAUUGAAUCAAAACUGGACAAGAAUAGGACAUCGAGUGCGUAUUCGUCAUCCAUUCCAAAUCCUCCCACAUGGUCAGUAUAGUGAGUAUUUCAUCAAUCAGGCUUCAGUAUCCCAAAUAGAGCGCAGUCUCAAAUGCACAUACCUAGACUCUAGCGACCUUGCUCUUCACACCAGAAACAUCAUCAAAUUUGGUUCAACAACGUCUAUCAUUCUGAUAGCAAAAUCAACCCCAAUAAGAUUUCAACCUCGGGAAACUGUGACUCCAAGACAUCCGACGGCAGCGGAUACAUCAAAUCCAAACCAACUCCAACCGCAGCUUCCCAAAGUAGAAUCCUCUUAACUUCUUUAUUGACCCGACAAAGUUUAGCAGGCAAAUAUCGAAUGGCUUCCAUUUAAGCACGAAGAACCAAAUCGGAAAAUCACAGACAACUCACUUAAAAUAAAGAUUCCAACAAAGCUCCAUGCAGGUGCCAUUUAUGGUGGCGAAUUGAAAUACAAUUGCAAAUUAUUGGGCACUUUAUCAACCUGAUUGGCAAGACAUUCAGUAUUUCAGAAUUCUUUUAUGUUCACAAACAGUUUCAGCUCUGCAAAGCUUUCUGUAGAAGGUGAUAAGGGCAAUACGGGAUAACAACAUGUGGAGAUCCUUACCGUUCCACGGAUGUAUCAUCAGCAUUUGGAGAAGUCCAAGCAACAUCGAGCUUCCUUUUAGAAUUGCCUUUCGAAAGCUCUUUUGGGCAUCUCGGCAUUUACAUCACAACCAGAUGGAUGAUAAUCAAAUCCUAUCAGUGAAUCAAAUCAAAUCGAUCUAGCAAUUAACAUCAGCGAACUACUGAUAUUACACCAAAGUUCACAGAACUUUCUUUGUAAAACUCCAAGUAAAUGCACAAAUAAGAGAUUAUGCAUAAUAUAAGGGAUUAUUAUACAGUGCAAUCGAUUAUUUCAAAAGACAUUCUCGUUCAUGUCUGCUAUCUUGAUUAUUUGCUUGACUCAAAAGUUCCGAUAAUGGACAGAUGACUUUGCUAACUAUCCAAAUAUUAAGAAGUAUUCUUCGGACUAAUCUAUUAAUUACCUUGGACUUUUAGGUAUAUCACGGAUUGAAAACAGACGAACAUGCAUUUUAUAAUUAGCAAAAUAUAAGUUGCAAUUUUCUCGAUUGCUCCCAACAAUUCACAAUAGUUUUGCUUCUGGCCUAUUUGCUAGUUUAUUCACAACCAACCCGCUAGGAGAAGAGUCAGUUCUAGCAUUUAGUGUUUCGUCACCGAUACGUUUACGUUAAUAAGCUAAUGUGGACAUUUUGUGAGAUAAAAUGUGGGAAACACAACGGCUUGACAAAUUUAUCCCAAGUUGUACCUUAGAAUCCUAAAUUCACUCUUAACCGUACCUUAGAAAUAUGCAGUCAUAAACUGUACGAAGAACACAGAGCAAACUAAGACCUCACAUCAGAAGACUGAAAACAAUGAUGCACUUAGAAGGCCUUUCGAUCAUUUCCAUGAACCUCGUCCCUGGAUUGCUUGAAUUAAAACAAGAAAACAAUAACACUGUCAACGAGGAAAUACUAAUGAAAAGUUGAUAAAAGUCAAAAGAAGUUGCAAUCAGGAAAUACAAAUGAAAAUUGGAUGACAGAUCUCCAAAGGAAAAAGGUAGCUUAACUGCUUUAUGUACCUUUUUUAGGAAAUGCAGAUCAUCUCAACUAUUCUAACUUAUCCGAGUCGUCUUGUCCCAAUUUACCAAUCCCUAGCUUCUAAUUGCAUCGCAUGUUGCUCUAGCUCGUAAUUUUGAUAAAGCUGCCCUCUAGAUAAUUCUGGUAUUGUCUUGAGAGACUUGCAUCCAGAAAUGUCCAAUUCCACAAGUUGCUGCAAUUUCUCGAGCCCUUGAAGCUCAGUCAGUUUCACACAAUUUUGCACAAUCAGACACUCCAAGUUGGUACAUGAUGAAAAAUCAGGUAAGAUCUCAAUCGACGAACAUCCCAAGAUAACAAUAAAUCGUAGGGAUGUCAACUUCUCAAGUCCUAGGAUCUCCCCAAGUUCAUCACAAUUUAACAGGGACAAAUACCGUAAAUUAUGAAAAUUUGACAAGUUUGGUAAUUUUGCUAAGAACUUGCAAUCCCUUAUAUAUAAAAUCUUGCAGGAUGUGAGUCUCUCUAGGUUCUGAAUAUCAUGAAGCUUGUCACAGGCAACAAUUGCCAAUUUUUGUAAGGUGUCAAAGCAACAUAAAUUCGGUAACCUUACAAGGGAAGUGCACAUAAAGAUUGUUAGCUCUUCCAAGAACUCCAUUUUAUCGAGGCAUUGAAUUUCGACUAAGUUUUCGCACUGAACAUUUAAUAUCUUCAAACCCUCACAUUUUGAAAGGUCCAGCUGUUCAAUUGCAUCGCAAAAACUGAUAUCUAUCUCUCUCAAGAACUUCAAACCCUCAGAUUUUGAAAGGUCCAGCCAUUUAAUUGCAUCGCACCCCGAGAUUUUUAUCUCUCCCAAGAACUUCAAACCCUCAGAUUUUGAAAGGUCCAGCCGUUUAAUUGCAUAGCACUCCAAGAUUUCUAUCUUUCUUAAGAACUUCAAACCCUUAGAGUUUGAAAGGUCCAGCUGUUCAAUUGCAUUGCACCCACCGAUCAUUAUCUCUCUCAAGAACUUCAACUUAUUGAGGCCUUGAAUUUCGACCAAGUUUUCACAGUAUUCAAGAUGUAAAGUUCUCAGACCAUUGGAUUUUGAAAGGUCCAACCUUUCAAUCGAAACCCAUGAGAUAUGAAGGGAUUCCAAGAGCAUCAUCCUAUCGAGGCCUUGAAUUUCGACUAAGUUUCCACAAUCAUCACACCUUAACCUCUUUAGAUAUUUGGAUUUUGAAAGGUCCAACUUUUCAAUUGAAUCGUUGCCAGAUAAUUCUAGGUGUUCCAAGAACUCUAACCUAUCAAGGCCUUCAAUUUCACAUAAGAAAUUCUCAAAUUCAAUACAUAGUAUCUUUAAACCCUUUGGAAGGUCUAGCUUUUUAAUUGUGCACUCACUAAUACAUAGAUUUUCCAAGAACUUUAGCCUAUCGAGACCUUGAAUUUCAACUAAGUUUUUGCAAUAAAUAUCUAAGUUCUUUAGACCCUCAAACUUUGCAAGGUCUAGCCUUUCAAUUAAAGGGCAAUACUUGAUCUUUAAUUCUUCCAAGAACUCCAACCGAUUGAGGCUUUGAAUCUCGACUAUGUUUUCGCAAUGCUCAACACAUAUUGUCUUCAAAUUCUUAGAUUUUGGAAGAUCUAGCCUUUUAAUUGAAUUGCACAUUGCGAUGAUCAAGCUUUCCAAAUAUAUCAAUUUGUCAAGACCUCGAACUUCAUGCAUUUUAUAGCAAUGCUUCAUAGAUAAUGUCCUCAACUGGUUCAAUUGUGAAAUGUCCAUUAUUUCCCUAAACGUGAUUUUUGAAGCUUUUAAAUCUCGGAGCUUUCUCAUCCUAAAAAUACCAUCGGUUAAUUCUAACAUGCCCAGGGCACCAAUAUGCAGAAUUUCUAGAUUUUGUAAAGCUCCUAUGCUAUCUGGCAGCACCUUGAGAUCACAGUACUUCAACGUCAAACGUACCAGGUUGUUCAUGUCUCCAAUAGAAGAAUCAAUUUGCUCUAAUUUCAUACAACGAUAGAGUAUCAGAACCUCUAAAUUCUUAAAAGCUGAGAGGAAGACCGUACUUCUUAAUGAUUGACAACCUGUAAGGUCAAGAAAUUUUAACUUCUCUGCCAUCUGGAAAAAACAUAACAAUAAAAAUCGAGGGUUAGCCUAGAGCAAUUAUGAUUCCAAAGAAUGCAGAAAAAGUAAACUUGUCCUUCAAUCUUACCAUGGAACUCCAUCCUUGCCAUUCAUAUGAGAUUUUGCUCAAAGACAAAUCGAGUACGACUAAUUCCUUUACGCGAAAAUUGUUUGCUUCAAAAGUUGAGGGACAACCCCGCCAUCGAAGCCAUUUUAACUCCGCCAUUGAAUUCUCAAGAUCUCCUCUAAGACAUGCCCGACUCACAUCAAGGAACCUUAGACCUGUUAACUUCUUGAAUUGCUCAGCCUCAAAAUUCUCGAAUGGCUGGGAAUGGUGAAAUUUGUUAAAAUAAAUGGCCUUAAUCUUUUCUGUUCCCUGUAAGUAAUCAUCAAUGUUCGUUAAUCCUAUUUAUAUUCAACAAAACUAAUAUAAUAUUAUUUGUUCAUAUUGCUAUAACAUGCCUAGACGUUCUUAAGAGACUAGCAAAGUAUCAACAUAUCAACUUUGAUUUUGAAUGGCCAUACGUAUUUGGAUCUUAAAAAGAAUUAUGAUGUUCUUUUUUUUUUGGUUUUGUUUUAUUUUGUAUAAUAGUUUGUAUAGUAUUACUCUUUAGUAUAAUGGCUCAUAAAGGGUAAAACUUUACAACCUGCAAAUCCUCUUCUUUCCGCUAAUGUCCCUGCAUUACUAUAUUAGUUAGGAGUUAGGACGUACAUUCAAUGCACACGAUUUCACAUUAUGAAGUCCUUUUCUUUUCCGCUUCUUCUUAUGUAUAAAUUUCAUAUAUGUUACUUGAGUGUGCUACUUACCCGAUUAAUAAAGACUAACAUAUACUCACUGUUGUUUUUCCCAUUGGCGUAAUGUAUAAUUAUAAGUAACUGAACUUGUGAUGGUACUUAUAUUAAUAUCCUGUGUAAUUUAUUUUGUUAUUACUAAUAACUAAAAUAUCAUCAAUCAAUUACUUUCUAAUUAUAAGUAUUAUAUCCUCUAUAACAUUGUUUUAGCAUAAAUUAUGACUUACUUAUAGAUUACAAUAUGAUUUAUUCUAAAAAAAUCAUAACUAUAGAUGAUUGAAAUAUUUAAAUAUAAUAAUCAUAGAUAUAAUAACUUUGGUCUGUUCCAACAUAAUUAGUUAUUAAAUAUGCAAAGUCAUCGCUGAAAUAUGAAAAUUGAAGCUAUUCUUAGCUACAUGGAAUAGCUUUUCCUUGGCCCCCUAGAAAAAAUAGUCCUGAUUUUGAGAGAAUAAAAAUACCUAAUCUAUUUUUGAAUCAAACGAAAGAAUAACGGCUUCAUCAGAACAAACUAUAAACAGAAUAGCUAUUCUUGCGAACCAUUGUAGCAAGCUUUCAUCAAGAAAAAUCACUAAAGCAUGCGAAGUGGAGAAGUAAUUUAGAAAAUUCAGGGAUUUCCACAAGUCAAUUUCUCCGAACAAGAAAAUUUCCUAUUGUACUUCACAUUGUUGUACAAGAUUUUUUGGAUACUUAAAGGAGAAUGACGUAACUAGUGGAGAAGGAAAUAGAUUUCAACACCUUAUAGGAAUCCUAGUUAAGAGUAAUUAUAAAGAAAGGAAGCAACCUCCAAAAGAAGUAAUCAUACUCAGAUUAGUCAUUUCCCUCGUAAACUUCCCUAAAAAUAUCAAGAAAUCCUAUCUGUCACCAAGAAUUCUUUGUUUUCAAGUGUGUUAACUUUUUCACUUUCAAGAAUCGGUCCAUAGAUUUGGAGUGUACUUACAGCCAAAUCCCAAAAAUAAGCCUAACUUUUUGUAAUUGGGACAAAGGCAGCACAAUCUUUGAAUCGCACCAGAAAAAUGCCUAACCUUUUACAUCUAGAGCAAACAUUACAUAACCUUUCAAACUUAUUAAUUAAAAAAAAAAAAAAAAACCAAUCAUCUAUCCGUGGAACAAAGCUAACACCCCUUACAACUGUCAUCCAUUGUCAUCGUUAAAUCACCACAAAUACCCUACAUGGUUCACUGUGCCGACAUACACAGCGAACCAUAUCAACAAACACAAAAAACUAGGUUGUUUUCCUAUUUUUAAUAACCUUUGUACCAAAUUUUUAGCAUUUUGAAAUAUAAAAAUCUAUUUAUGAUCAUGAUUAUUGCGGUUUACUGUGUAUGUUCGGACAUUGAGCUGUGUAGAAUAAUGCGCGGCGAUUUAAAGUGAGAAUAAGCAGAAUUUGUAAAGGGUGCCAAUUUUGUCCAUUGAAUGAAAAGUGUAAUAUUUUCGACCCACAUGCAAAAGGCUAGGCUUCUUUUUACGCUCUUUUAAACUUAGUGUUAUUUUUCUCUCAGGUGCAACACUUUGUAUUUUUAUUUAUUUGGUCGUAUACUCAAUAAUACCCAUGGAAUGAGUUAAAAAUGUGUUUCAAUUAUGCUUUAUAUGUCAUUCGUUUCUUGUUAUGUAAGUUGUAUUGUCUAUGCUUCUCACUUCGCAUAGGUUUUAUCAAAGUCGAUCGUAUUUUUAGAUGAUAUAAAUGAAAGUAACUUUAGGUAUUUUUAUUAAUUGUAGGAAUAAACUUAAAAAAUCUUAUAUCAGUUUUACCAGAGGCACUUUGAUUUCGACUUAUGAUGGUAACUUGAAUUGAACGGAGUGGAAGUAUAUCCUGCAAAAAUAUUGAAAUAAUGACGUGAAAUAUGCACCUUUUUAGUUUUAAAAUUUAAUUUUACUAGUUUAUUUAGAUAUAAAGUAUACAGGAUAUUCAUUUUUCUUUUGGUUAGUUUAGCUUAUUUGUGAUAUAAUUUGAAAAAAAAAAUAGACAAAGGCUUUGAAUUUGUUAAUACAUGAAUUGGCUAUUGAUAUUAUACAAGUUUGCACAUUGAGAAUGCAAAUGGGAGCUAGUCUUUUGAGCAACAACUUGAGUCAAACCAUACAAUGGAUUAUAAGUAGUAGAGUCAAAAUCACAAUUAGCUACACAAAUCCCGCCAUGUUCACUCCUAUUAUACUAAUUUGAGAAAAUUUUAAAUAAGGACUUGAAGUGGAGUGUUUUUUCAAAAGAGGACCUGAAAUGGACGUUGUCUCAAAUAAGGGUCUCAAAUGAUGGAUUUAGUGUCAAAUAAGAGCCUCGGUAUGGAUUUUACUAUGUGUUACAAAACGCCCAAUGUGGUUGUGAUUAUGCUUUAUGGUGGCAGACAGGUUGUCCAAGAUGACAGGUUUCAUCCUUACGAGGAUACAUCAUCUGCGUCAUAUUGGCUUAGAUUUUUCUGGCUUGAACAAGAGAUAUUUAUAUGACUCUAGGAAAUCUAAUUCAGAGCAUUUGUGGAGACAAGUUGAAACAACGGAAAUUUUGCAUUGCCUCAUAUCAGGAUUUUGCAUCCCAUAAUGUGGUUCACUCAGCUAUAAAGAAGUCACAAUUCUAUGUCGUUUACAGGAACCUCCCAGGCGCACAGUGACUUUGCGAUAUAUCCUUCCACCCUUUCCCUCUAGAAGCUCCCAAAACAAGCCCUUAUCAACAUCACCAUAGCCAUAGUCAAACACCCACAUCCACCCAUUCCCUCUAAGCCCUUUGACAUGCACAAAUUUAAGCUCUACACCUACUAAAGACUCCCUCUUGCAAUUUAAGGCGUCGAAAAAGAUCUGCAGACGUUGAGUCUUCCAAGUUCUCUUCUUCCUCAGUCACGGCCAAGCAAGGUGAGGGAAAUCAAGAAAGGGCGAAGCGAAGCAAGAAGACAAAGGGCGAUUGUGCAGUGAAGGUGAAGAAAUUGGCCAGAGAAUGGGAGGAUGGUGGUGGGUAAGCGAGGGCAGUGGAGAAGGAGAGGAGUAAGGUUAAGGUGUCUCGAGAUGGAAUUGACAUUGUCAAGAUCUCGUCUCUAUUGGUGGAGGAGAAGUUGACGAAGUGCCAUGAAGAGGCUGUUGAUUGUGACAGAAGGAAUUCAACGUCUUAAGUGGUGGAGAGCGGUAUGAUUUUCACAACCAGAGCGAAGGAGGCUCGAGAAAGAUGAAGUACAAAAAAAAAAAAAAAAGCAAGAGAAAGAAGAAAGAAAAAGAAAAAUAAUGAAAAAUGUUUUUGGAUGAGAAUGCCCCAACACGUGGAUAAGAUUUGGCUAGUCGGUGAAAUUAGGCCCUUAUUUGAGACUAAAUUGACCACUUUGAGGCCUUAAUUUAAGAUGACGUCCACUUCAUACCAUCUUGUAAGAAAACGACUCCACUUCAAAACCUUAUAUAAAAUUUGCCCUACUAAUUUGAAUUCUAUGAUUUAUAUAUCCUAGAUACUAAUUAGUUAUGGUUUACGGUAACAUAAUCCAGUUAUUUAUUGCAUGUGUGAAGGACAAAACUGAAUAAACGCAGCGUUUAUUCCACGAAACUCAAAAUUUGAAAAAUAUUUUCCAAAAAACGACUGCCUGGGCAGUUUUCAAAAAUGAAUAAGUGAGAAAUAUUUUCAUCAUUCACGAAAAUAAUCGGCAUAAAUUGUUGUCGAUAAUUAAAUAAUUUCCGUGACUGAUUUUUCUAAGCAAUGUAGUCAAUCAUUUUUCAUAAGAUAUUUUCCAAAUCUUAAGUUUUAUGUUAAACAAAUACACUUAAAAAUUAGGGAGUCUUUCAAUAUAGAGCACCUUUAUUGGUUAUCUAAUAAAUUGUUGAGUACCUCAUUCUAGGAGAUAUAUUCGUAAUGUACACUUGUUUAAAAAAAAAUCUAAGGUAAGUUGCACUACUUUUCAAGAGCGAGCAAUCUCCUAGUUUAUAAUCACUAAUCACGUCAAUAGAAGGACAUGAGGGUAAUAAUAUUAAAAGGCUCUCUACUCACUAGAGCAAGCAUUAAAGUAAAGGACCAGCAUCACUUAGACAAGAGAACAUGAACUUAGGAAGCAAAAAAAGAGAAACUGUUACCUUAUUUUCCUUUAGCACUUUCAGGACUUCCUUGGAGUCCCACAACCUGCUACGGUAUUGAGGCUCUUCUCGAUUCUCCUCGCGAACGAUUUCCCUACCAAGAUCUCUCAACUGGUCAUGCAUUCUGAGCUUAUGAUCAUCUCCAAUUUUUAUUAAUGACAUAAACCUCAACAUUUCAAUUCCCUCCUCUGGGAAAAACCCGCAUGCAUCCCACAUGUAGGAUGCAAUUCUUCCAUCGGCCCCAAUUAAAAAACAAGCGAUAUCCAAAAAUAUUUCUUUUUGUCUAGGUUCUAAUGCAUCGUAACUUAUCUUUAACUUUUCUUGCACUUUCUUAUGAGGGACUUCUUUUAACCUUUUUAUUGUACCUCUCCAUAGUGUUGGCUCUCUUCCGCACAAAAAUGAGCCUAAAACCUCAAGAGACAAGGGUAGGCCCCCAGUCGUUGAUACAACAUCAUGAGCAAGGUCCAUGAAUUCACUUGGAGGAGAGUCUUUUCGAAACACAUGUCUACUGAACAGGAUCAAAGAUUGCUUCUCAUCCAAUUCCUCAUGUGCAUAGUAGUAGUCCACCCUAGCAUUAUCAAGAAUACUCAUGUUUCUUGUGGUAAUAAGGAUCCUACUUCCUGAAUAAAACCAAUUAUGAUUUCCAGCCAAAGCCUUCAACUGAUCAUCAUCGUCCACAUCAUCAAGAAGAAUGAGUACUUUCUUUUCUUUGAACCUGGAUGAAAGGAACUUAGUCCCUUGAUCCUUAUUAUGAACUUUUUCUUCAUGCUUCAAUAUAUCUAAGAUUAGCUGAUUCUGCAAGUACUCAAGGCCAUUACGGUUACAUAAUUCCCUAACAUCAGAAAUGAAGCUGUGACAUUUAAAUUGAUUGGAGAGCUUGUUGAAGAUAGUUUUAGCAAGAGUCGUCUUACCAAUGCCUCCCAUUCCAUAGAUGCCAAUAAAUAGGGUAAUGUCAGAAUUAUUAGCUACAUCUUUCAUUACCUUCUCCAUAGGAUUAUCAAUUCCCACCAAAUUCUUAGGAAUAAGCAAAUCAAAGUCUUUCUUCAGCUCACUCAACACUUUUUUGACAAUCGAUUUCACUAAUUCUGCUGCAUUCCUGUCAAAGGCGACAAGAGUUCAAGUAUGUGGCAACAACAACUUUAUAUCGUUUAUACAUUGAGAACAUAAUAACAAAAAUAUCCAAGAAUUGUUUUUGCCACCUCCAUAUAUUGUCUUAAUGCUAAGAUUAAAGUAGGAGAGCUUGCAGUUGCUUCACAUGGCUAUUCCAUUAUAAUUCUAAGACAAUUUAUUUAGCAGGAAGAAACUUGAGGUACCGCUAAUGAAUCUUAAAUUUUUAUAUAGUAUCAAUUUGAAUAAAAUUUUAAAAUUGUUGUUUAUUUAAAACAAAGAUGACGUGGAUGUGACUUUGAAAACUUUCUAGAGCAUUUGAAAUAAGCAAAAAUACAAUAAGCUAACUUGUAUGAGACUACAGCCAUCAAUCAAUAAAUAGGUAAUAACUUUUGAUGCAAUAGGAGGUUAAUUCCUAUAAUACCGAGCUAGAAAGUCAUUCAGAGUACAAUACUGUGAACUACCUAAAUACAAUUGAGGAGAUUUCUCCUUAUAUGCGCAUGCUAGCAAGUUUCUACUCAUGCUGUGAAUUUGAAAUCUUUCUAAAUUCAUGUUCUUAUCGAUCUUUAUUGUGUCAAGGGAUAACAAAAGAUUGUACUUUACUUUCCUUUUUGAGUAUCUUUCUUCUAUGAUCUUAAUUAAUCCGAUGUUAAUUUUAGUGGAAGUAGAAGAAUGAUUUUUCCAGAAUAAUUUUUCCUUAAAAUAAGAACAAUGCUUCAAUUUAUGCAGGUGUAUGAGAUAAUAAUGUCUUGAAGAUAAGAAAAUGCAUUGGAAAGAUAUGUAAACAAACAAAUAAUAAAGAUAAUAUAUUUUUCUUUUUUAUAUUUACCAUCAUAUGAAAUAUUUCUUUUGGUAAAAUUGAUUAUAAAAGUAACUCAUUACCGACAUGAUAAUUUAAUAAAUGUACCUUGGGAAGAUGAUGAAUAAUGGCUUUGGCCAUCAACAUGCACGGUAUAUAUUGUAUUAGCUUUAAAUGGGAACCACAUAUAAGUCGAAAUAUUAGUCUCAAAUAAAUAUGCAACUAGAAAAGUCUGUAAUGAAGGCUGAUUUUACUUAUAAUUUAAACAUGAAAAGAAAUGGUACAGUGUUACAAGGCAUCUGGAUAUGGGUGAAAUUUCAUCUAAAAAAGCUUAUAUUAUUUAAGCGAAUGAGAUCAUUUCAUUAGAAUUUAUAAUUAGGUGGGUCAUUAUCGUUAAAGUAAUUCCUAAAAAUGAUAACUUAUAAAACUCAUGCAAUGCAGGAUCUCAUCCCUUUUUAAAAAAGAAAAAACAAGAAAAACAAAAAGGAAGAAAAAAAGCAAGUAGGGAUCAAAACAAUAGUGAACCCCCACACAAAUUAAAAGAAAGUGAAGAAAGUUUUUGGUGAAAAAUGAAGUACCCGUCGGCUUCCCAUCCUUUCAAGUUACUGACUGCAGUGAGUGCUUGCUCGUAUUUCUCCAAAGUCGUUCGGUUGCAGCGCCUCGCUCGCCUACGAAAUGCAUCUCCGAAACUUUCGAUCCGAUACCGCACGUGAGCUGGUUUCACUUUGUAGAAUAUAGGCAACACCAUAUGCCCCGUCUUAUUAUUCUUGCACUCCAUUAUUUGAACCAGUUCAUCGAGACACCAUUUGCUCGAACAAUAAUUCACGGAGAGAAUGGGGAUCGAGAUCUUACUGUUCUUGAUGGCUUCCAAGAGAUCCGGGCCGAUCUCCUCGCCUUGGCAGAGCUCGUUAUUGUCCAAGAAAACAUGAAUUCCGGCAUCCACCAGCCCGUGGUAGAGGUGACUGGUGAAACCAUUUCGAGUAUCUGGACCUCUAAAGUUCAAGAACACCUCGCAACAGUCCCCAGUAGGCGCGGUCGACGAACUAGAUGUGCCGGAAUCGGUUUCCACCGGAGAGGUGGACGAUCCGGCUGGGCGGGCAUCAGCAUCUUCUGCAUUUCUUCGUGCACUGGUUCUUUUCCUAUUGAGAAAAUUGAAAGCAAGCAUGGAGAGGAGGAUCGGUGCCACGAGAACGGCGAAAGAGUGCCCAAAAAUGGGAGGAUGCAUUUCUUCUUUGCUUUGAUUCUGCCCUUUGUUUUUCCUUGUCCAAGUCCGAUGGAGAAGAAAACCAAAAUGCCUCUCAAGGAAAUACUAGAAAAAGGGUUUAUGGUCCAGACACGCUCUUCCGCGAUGUUCUAUCAUUUUAUCAGGAGAAAAUAUUGGGUAGUCCGGGAGCCACUGUGCGCCGGCCCAAUGAGGAUGCGACACAUGGCUUCACGUGAAGACGUGGCCCACCAUCAUUUUUAGUCAAAUUUUUGCCUCCUCUUUUCCCUUCUCAUUAAAUCCUUCGUCCUUUUUCUGGCCCCACCAUUAUUUUUCAGAGAAGGUUUCUCGGGCAGCGUGAAUCACAAGACUUUGGAGCCUCUCAAGGGCACUAGGCUUAGUGGUCAACAGGCUAUAUGUUAGGCUGAGAUAGGAGAGCAAUUCCCUCCACUGAGCGAUGAAAUGACAGUCGUAGUCAAAAGUUAGCGUAAAAAUCACUCUAGCUCUUUACGUGAGUUUAACGUAUGUCAUAUGAAAAAACCACCAAAUCCGCUGCUUUCUCUCUCGUCUUGUCGAGCUUCUCUCUCUACCCUCUCGGUAGUUUGCCCUAACUCAUUUUUUGCGUUUUCUUCCCCCACAAGUUUUCACUUCUUCUUCACUCUACUUCUCUGGUUUGCCUCCCCCUCUUCGGUUUCUUCCGCCCCUGGUCUCUCUGAUGGCUUCACAAACGAAUUCCUUCUCUCGAACUCAACUUCCUUCGCUUCGCCGUAGCUCUGGACUUCUUCAAGUUCCAGGUUGAAGUGCGGCUCUAUUCUGCGCUUUACUUUCCCCUGGGUUCCGGUUUUUUUCGCCCCCUCUUCCUUCUUCGGACCUCGCCUCAACCUUUGCUCUGCGCUGCGUCCCCACUUUUUUUCUUGUCCCUUCACCCCUGUUUCUCUUCGUGCUGGUUUUUUCCCUUUGUCGCCCCUUUCCCCUUUUUCCAUGGGAGGAAAUAUCCUAGAGGAGGAGUCACGAAUAGCUGCCCUCUGUAACAAAUUAGGCAGACUCUGUGCUGACCAUGAACUGGGAGCUUGGGAAGGUCCGCCACCGCUAGAACAAAUUGAAGAAUGCAAGCUUAUUUUAGUUGGUAAUCUCCUUUCAAACUCAUCUGUAAAUUUCCAGGCUCUUCAAUCCACGCGGAAACGCUCAUGGAGAGCAGAACAGGCAGAUUUUUCACAACGUGAUACAGGCCUAUAUGUUGUAAGGUUUAAUUCGGUAGAGGAGAAAAAUCGUAUCCUUGAUGGAGGUCCCCGGUCGUUCUCAGGUCAUCUUGUCAUCCUAAAACCUUGGCUUCCUAACACGCCGUUGCAUUGCUAUGAUUUCUCUAAAUGUGCCUUUUGGGUCCACAUUCUCGGUCUGCCUCUCGAAUGGUGUUCAGAAUAGAUGUUGUACAAAGUGAUUCGGCAUGUGGGACGAGUGAUUGAAACUAGAGUAGACACUAGGGAGGCUCCUAAUUUCAUAGCAGGAAGAGCUAGGGUCGAACUUACCCUCAGUCAACCUUUGAAAUCAGGUCACUUACUCCGUAUUAAUGGCAAGACUUUCUGGCUUGAUUUCAGGUACGAGCGCCUCCCUCAUUUCUGCUACUCUUGUGGUAGGUUAGGCCACUUUGCUGUGAGUUGUCCAGAAACUCCCCUCACUGCUGCAGAACUGGCAAGUAAGGAAUCAACAGCUUUUGGUCAAUGGCUGCGAUCAGAAGUUAGAGAACACAACCCUUAUUGGCAUACCUUUUAUGGCGAUCUUGUUAGCCCUACUGAGAUGGAUGAUGUUAUACCUGAAACACAUCCUUCCUUAGUAACCAAGACCCUUGCGCUCCCCACUUCUGAAGUGCCUCUCUCACCCUCUGGGCUUAAUGACCAGCAUGUUGGAGCCUCCUCUACUCAUCGAUAAAAAAACUGCCCCGUUUCCCUCGAGUGGUACAACCCCUGCAUCAUCAACUCAGUCAAGUGUUAUGCAAGACCUCCACAUGUCUGAGAAGGUGCAGCCACAACAAUCUGGACAAAUUGUUGUCAUAUCUCAGCCAGCACAAAGAAGGGAUCAUUAUAUGCAGGGGGCAAAGUUAAAAGGCACCUCAGAUCAGCAGGGUCAUCUUCAGGUUGAAGCUGCCUUGCUUAAAAUGAAGUCCCCUGUUUCAGCAGUACCUACUGCUCUCAAUGUUCCAGUAGCAGAUUCAUCAAAACCAGUCAAAUUAAAGAGUCUUCACAGGCUUACCAGAGGCAGCCCCUAGAAAAAAGCUAAGAGGUUCUCACCUUAUGAAUCGCUUGCUCAUGGAUUACCUGUUUUGGAUGACAACCAACUAAUGGACACCCCUAUCCUUGAAGCCGAAGGGGUUGACAAUUGGGCGAUGGUGGCUUGCCCUAAAAAGCCACCAAGGGAUAGAUGAAGUUUGUAAGUUGGAACUGUCAGGGGCUGGGCAACCCCUUGACAGUUCAAGCUCUUAAGGACCUCGUGGUCCAUGAUCGGCCCGACCUUUUGUUUUUGAUGGAAUCUAAAAACCAGGACUCCUUUUUAUCUAGAGUACAAAGGAGAUUGCAUUACCAGCAUAGCUUUUUGGUGUCCCCUGUCGGUCUAGCUGGUGGUUUGGCUGUCUUUUGGAAUGACCCUCUCUCUGUUAGUGUGGAGGACUCCUCAGUCCACUAUAUUGACCUGAUCUGCUCUGGUCCCCAUGAAGGAAGCCCAAUGUGUCUCACUUGCAUCCAUGCCCUUACAUCCUUCCCGUAGAGACAGCAGUUAUGGACAGUUCUCAAGCAUAUCAGCAGAGUUAUUACAAUGCCUUGGGUAUGCAUUGGAGACUUCAAUGAAAUACUAAACCACUAGGAAAAAGUAGGUAAACGUUUCACUCCUUCUUAUCGGUUGCGCUCUUUCAGGGACUUCUUAAAUGAUUGCUCACUCAUGGAAGUAGAAUCUAAAGGCUGUGCCUAUACAUGGGUGAACAAUAGGGACGGUGACGAAUUGAUUAAGGAAAAACUUGACAGGGUAUUAUGCAAUAUGGACUGGAGGUUAACAUACCCAGCAGCUGAAGUGUUCGCCCUACCUGCCAUUGGCUUUGACCAUAGUCCGCUGAUUUUAUCGCUUAUGUCUCCUGCUACAAAACGCAAACGGACUUUCACCUUUGAAGCCUUCUGGCUUCAUCAUUCUGAAUGUCGUCAGAUCAUUGCUGCUGCCUGGUCCUCUCUUUCUCGAGGACCUGUCUCCAUCUUCAGAAAACUCCAGGCUGCUACCACAGCGCUCCUACAAUGGAGUAAAGACAAGUUCAGCAAUGGCUAUCACCGGAUAAACUUACUAAAGCAGCAGCUUCAAGAUCAGUCUAACCAACCACCUUGCUACCAUGACAACCAGCAGAUUAAAAAUCUGAAAGCUGAAAUUCAACAAAUUUGGCAACAAGAGGAGCAAUACUGGGCUAUGCGUUCACGAGUUAAUUGGCUGCGAUGGGGAGACAAAAAUACCAGGUUUUUUUCAUGCGACUACAAUACAAAGACGCCAAAGAAAUCGCAUAAGUAUGCUGCAAGACACAAACAAUCUUUGGAUUCGUGAUCCUACUCAACUUAAGCACAUGACUAAGGACUUCUUUUGCAGUCUAUAUACUUCAGUUGGAGCUCGUGACUUCAAUCCUAUCCUAUCUCAGUGCAGCCCAGCAGUUACAGUGGAAAUGAAUCAGUAUUUAACAGCAGAGGUAACUAAAGAGGAAGUCAAGAUUGCUGCUUUUCAAUUAGGUGCCACAAAAGCCCCCGGUCCUGAUGGCUUUAAUGGUCUAUUCUAUCAUCGGCACUGGGAUAUAGUGGAAGAUGAUAUUUUUACCUCAGUGCAAGCUUUCUUCAUAUCUGGUAGGAUGCCACUAGCCCUGAAUAGAACCAUCAUCGUUAUGAUUCCUAAGGUUCAGCAAGUAGAGAGGUUAGACCAGUUUCGACCAAUCAGUCUGUGCAACUUUAUAUACAAAAUUAUAUCCAAAAUUCUAGCUAACCGGCUCAAAAAAUGGCUUUUUGGCCUUAUCUCACAUGAACAUAAUGCUUCGAGGGCAGACAAAUUCAAGACAGUAUAUUGAUUGUUCAAGAGGUUAUACAUCAGUUCAGAAUCAGGCAGAGAAAGAAGAAUUUCCAAGGAAUCCUGAAGUUGGACAUGAAAAAAGCAUAUGAUCGGGUCGAAUGGGAUUUUUUGGAGGCGUAUUUUCACAAGUUGGAUUCGAUUCUAGAUGGAUACAAUGGAUAAUGCAGUGUAUCACCACAGUAUCCAUUAGCAUUAAGUUAAAUGGUGAAACUCUUCCCUACUUUCAGCCUUCAAGGGGUCUACGCCAAGGUGACCCUCUUUCUCCUUAUCUCUUCAUAUUACUAGCUAACCUUCUAUCUAGGCUUAUCACACAAGCAGUAGAUAUGGGCAAUCUGAAAGGGAUAAGGCUUAAUAGGUGGUGUCCCACUUUGUCUCACCUUCUCUUUGCCGAUGAUGCAAUCUUUUUUCUAGAUGGUAAGCUUCUUGAAUGUCAAAACCUAUCGAAUAUUCUGCAGCAAUAUUGCCUAGCCACGGGCCAAGCUAUAAACAUGAACAAAUCUGGUCUUUUCCUUAGUAAAAAUUGCCCGAUGAGUUUGCAGGAGAAUCUGGCCACAGAAUUGAGAGUCCCCUUGCUAUAGAAAUCUAGGAAGUAUUUGGGGAUACCGUCUGAUUGGGGUGCCUCUAAAAAAGAUAUGUUUUCUUGGAUUAUGGCUCGAGUCAAUUCUAAAUUAGCAGGCUGGAAAGAGAACCUCUAAAGGUGGCAAAGAAAUUCUACUUAAAUCAGUGGUGCAAGCCCUCCCUCAGUAUGCUAUGUCCAUUUUUAAGCUCCCUGUCUCUAUUUGCAAAUCUAUUAAGCAGAGAAUAGCUAGCUUUUGGUGGCAGACUAGCAAAACCAAAUCAGUUAUCCACUGGAAAAGCUGGGAUUUGCUGAAAGAAUGUAAAGAUAGAGGUGGGAUGGGAUUCAGAGACUUAGUGGCUUUUAACAGGGCUCUUCUUGGCAAACAAGCGUGGCGUCUUUCCCAAAAUUCGUCUUCCCUAUGGAGUUCAAUUUUUAAGGGCUUAUAUUACCAUUCCAGUGACUUCUGGCAUGCUGACCAUGGCUCGCGACCCUCCUGGGGUUGGCAAAGCCUUCUGCUGGGAAGGGACUCCAUCAAAGAGAACAUGCAUUGGUCGGUAGGUAAUGGCCAAACUAUUAAAGUCAAACAGGAUAAGUGGCUGAGGAAAGGAGUUAUUGGUGGCCUAGCACCUAGAAAUGAACCUGAUAAAGUGGCUGGCUUUAUUUCUUCAAACCAGCUCACUUGGGACAUCCCUAAACUCAAGCAAAUCUUCGAUGACUAGACUGUUAAUGAAAUUUCAUCCAUUAAGCUACGAACGGAGCCUAUCCCAGACCAAAUUCUAUGGAAAGACACACAUACAGGUACAUAUUCAGUUAAAAGUGGCUACCAUCAUAUUCAUCAGUCAAGUCACUUUAUCAGAAAUACUCGACCCUCAUCAUCCUAUACCACACCGCGGCGCCUUUGGCAACAGAUUUGGAAAAUUCAGACGGCACCCAAAAUUCGAAUAUUCCUAUGGUCUAUCUGUCACAAUGCGCUUACAACUAAGGAAAAUCUUCAUAGGCGCCAUAUCAUAGAUGAUCCAACAUGCCCUGUUUGCUCGUCUCAAGUCCUAGAAAAUCUGGAACAUCUACUACUGCUCUGCCCUAGAUCACAAUAGGUUUGGUCCCAUCCUCACAUACAUAUUACAGUCUCAGCAUUUUGCACUCAUCGAAUGGAUGCAUGGUUGACUGAUCUAAUUGGGCAUAGAUCUCACUUACCUGGUUUAGAAGUCAUUGCUUCCCUUCUCUAGCAGCUUUGGAAGGCCCACAACCUAUUUAUCUUCCAGCGACAGUUCUCCAGCCCUCAACAGAUCGUUGAUUCGGCUCUCACUUCAGCUCGGCUGUAUCUCUCUUGCUCCAAGUCGAAUCCGGCUUCAUCAAUGGCCUCUCCGAAUCCUCUCAGUGGAUGGAUCCCCCUUGAACCUGGCUCCAUUAAAGUGAAUCUGGAUGGAGCCCUCCCUGAUGCCUCUGAAGUAGGGUUGAUUGCGUGCUUGUGUCGUGAUCAUAACGGCACCUUGCUCGACGGCUAUGCCCAGAACGUUCAGGCCUCCUCACCCCUUCAAACAGAAACCCUAGCCUUAUUAUCCACCCUCCAAUUUCUGUCGCGAUAGGGUUUUGGAAAUACUCACCUGGUCCUUGAAUCAGAUUGUCUGGAGUUGGUGGAAACCGUGAAUCACCGCAGGCGACCGUCAUAGGUUUGUCAAUCUUCGCUCGAGCACGCCGCAACCCUUCUUCGUGAGUGCCCUAAUUUUCUUCUGCAGCACUGUCGCCGUGAAGCUAAUUUGGCUGCCGACUGGAUCGCCAAGGCCCAAGGCCGAGGGUCUCAGCUUUUGAAUUGGGCUCUUGAUCCGCCCAUUUCUCUCUUCAAUUUUCUUUGUACCGAUGCCCUCUUUAAGGGUGUAACUUGGUUUGCUCUUAAAUGUCAUGCUUAUGUUUUGAUAAAAAAAAAAAAAAAACGUAUGUCAUAUGAAGUCAACUCAACGUGUCACUUAAAUAGGACAUGCAAAAAUUAUAGAAAGAUAUGAAGAAUCCAUAAAGUUUCUAUCUCAAAAGCUCUUCCACUGAGGAGCCAGAGUUAGGACCGGAGGCAACCACGACCACAGUUGGAGGUCAAGACACGGCAAAUAUGACCGGCAAGGCUCUUGGAAGCGAGAUAGAUCAUUCACAACGGCGGCCGUGGUGUCAUCGCAGCUCACUUCAAUGCCAAGGACGACCAAAUCAUCGCCGUUCGUGCUCACCGUUCCUCCACACGAAACCAAACAGCUAGAGUUAGGACCGCAAGGCGACCCCGACGAAGAGGCAGAGGUGGAAACGGUCAGAGCUCGAUUGAUAGUUACGACCGGCGGGGCUCAUAAGAGGGAGAGGGAGCGAGUGGCUCCUGGCGGCGACGGGGGAGACGACCAAGCUCGAAGUGACCGGUGAGCUUUUGUGAGGGAGAGAUUUUUGAAAAAGAAAGGGCGGGUGUCGCGGGGCUUUGAUAGAGAAAAAUAUGCAGAACAGAGGGAGACAAUUUUGAAAGAGAGAGAAGGGAAGGGUCACUUCUUUGUGUGAGCGGGAGGAGGAGUAUGCAGAGGAGGGACAAAGCAUUUAAUGAAGAGAGAGGGGGGAGGUGAAACCUUCUCUGGAAAAUAAUGGUUGGGCCGGAAAAAGGACGAAGGAUUUAAUGAGAAGGGAGAGGAGGAGGCAAAAAAUUGACUAAAAAUAAUGGUGGGCCACGUCUCCACGUGGAGCCACGUGUCGCAUCUUCAUUGGGCCGACGCACGGUGACAUGACGCUCUUGGACCACCCAAUAUUUUCUCAUUUUAUCAGCCCUUCGCCCUUGCUAGUGUAGCCACAGUGAGGAGAGUCAAAUGUGGGGCCCCUUCGGUGUCGGCCUUCUUUUUUUGUUUUAUCUCUCUCUUUUUUUUUUCCACUUUUCGACACCCCUUUUCACGGUGUUUUGAAAUGUGGGGACCACUUGGAGCCUCUCUUAUUUUUUUGUUUGGGGACCCUUCGACACUAUUUGUGACAUCCUGAAAUCCAAGUUCUGAUUUCGAUCGAAAUAGUUUGGCAUUUCAUCGACGCAUUUAUAGUUCUCUUCCCUGAACUGAUCACUCAUGGGAUAAUUAGUCUAUCAGGUGAAGCCGUUAAGGAAUUUUAACGCAUUAGACUUGAAAAUUCGACCAGAAAACAACUACUCAACCGUGCAAAUCUGCAAGAGAUCAUUACGACACAGUAAGAUCAUUAUAAAUCGGAGAUAGGUUGACUUGACAAAGGUAUGUGAUUAAGUGUGGGUGAUUCCACCUAAUUGCACAAUUCUUGUCGAUCAGCACUAGACCGAUUCUUCUGUCGUUUUGAUACCCCGUGUCUGUAUUUGAAACCUUGAGAUUUCUACGACAACCGAGAGUCGUCAAUAUAUCGAAGAUAUACUUUGUGGCUUGAGAAUAAUCAACCACAGGUCAAAUGCACGAAAAUUCCUGAAAGCUACCCGGUAGAUUAGGACGCACUAAAUUCGCACCGAAUUGAAAUUAACCGUGAAAUCGAACCCGAAUUCAUAAAUUGAGAGUUCAGAUGUGUCACAAAUUAUUUUAGGAAUGUUGACUCAUCUUCGGAAGAUUUUUCAUGCAAUUAGAGUUUUUCAGCAAAUUAAUCAAAGAAUUGCUAAUUUGGCUUGAGAAAUUAGUAGGCUUGCCUUUGGUCGUACUUUUGGGACUUAAGUUGGUUCUAUGGACUAGUAAAUACGUGAAUUGAAGUGUGGUGACAUUGGAUUCAAUUGGAAGAGAAUCGAAUGGAAUUGAAGAAGUUGUUGUACAAGAUUUUAUGCCUCGGCGGAAAAUGAAAUUGAACAUAUUGGAAGAGGUUAUGGAGGAUUGAGAUAGUGGAUUGUGACAUCACAAGUGAUGUCAUGGUGUGGGGACAAGAGUGGCUAGGAUGUUGACAAGUGGAGGGUGGAUAUUGGCCCUCAAAAAGUGAGGAGGUCCCAUCAUCUUCUUCUUCAAGCUUGGAAUUGGUAGAGGAGGGAGGAGACCGUGCGACCGAACCAGUAAGCUCGAUGCCGCCCCUUCACUCGCUCGGCUGCCUGCUUGCUCGUCGCCGGAGCCGCUCAUAGCCGCCGUCAGAGCAGCCGCGCCUCACCUCACGCACCUCCGCCUCUCUCUUUUCCCCUGCGUCGCUGCUGUCCCUCUUUCCUCCAUCUUCGGUUACUGCUCGACGAAACCCAGCAACCUAGGGAAGCUGAAGUAGCAACCAGCAACGCCACUCGUUGCCAUUGCCGCUCGCUGUCCCGUGCAUAGCCGCUGCUCCUCGCUCGCCCGCGCUUGCCCGACGCCUAGCCGUCUCCAUCUCCGUUUGCACAUUACAAGAGCUGCCGGAGCUUGUCCCUGCUGCCGUGAGCCGUCGUCGACCUCCCCAGCAGCUCGUCCAAGCCCCGCCAAUCUUCUCCACCAUUCCUCCGCCCAAACUAGCACCGGAGCAGCCCUCCUUUGGCCUCAACCAGCAGCCAAGAAAAUGGGUAUGGAAGCUCGAUUUUGGCCCGUUUUGGCCGACUUCCCGACCCCGGAAGCUAGGCCCGCUUUGGAGUGAAUCGAUCCCCUCGGCGUCCCCGUCGAUUUGAGCCGCUCGGUUCGUUAAUCGGGUGAGUUUAACUCACUAAUUCCCGCUUAAUAGGUUAAUCACGUUUAAGGGGUGCUUAGAUUAAACUAAGUAGGUUUAGGUGAUUAGAUUAAUUUAUUUAAAUGUUAAGUGGAUUAAUGGAUGUGAUUAGUUUAGUGAAUAAUUAAUUAAGGCUAAGUAAAUAUUUGGAUUAAAGUAAUCUUGUUUAAGCCUUAAUUAAUUAUUUUAAAUUAAGUAAGUACUUCGAAUUUAUACUAUUAUUUAUUAUAUUGUAUUAUUAUAAUAUAAUAUUAUUUUAUUUAAUUUUCGGAAUAAAUUUAAUUAUUUAUUAUUUUCCGGAAAUUUUGAUCGGGAUAGCCGGUGACCGGAAUUUUAUGCUGAUGAUCGUGGUGAAGUCCGUUUAUUUAAUUGAGAUCCAAUUUGAGCUAAAUUUAAUUUAUUUUAAUUAAUUAUUAAUUUUCGAAAUUAAUUAACUAAUUAAUUAAAUUUCGGAAAUUAAGGUUGAGACGACCGACAACUGAAAUUCCGUGCUGAUUGUCGUGGUGCAGUCCGUUAAUUUAUUUGAGCGUUAAUUUGUGCUGAAUUGAAUUAAUUGUGAAUUUAAGAUUUAUUCAUAAAUUAUCUGAUUUUGGUUAUUAAUGGAAAAAUAACCGAGUGUCGGUUUACAGCGCAAAAAAUAUGUAAUGGGCUGUUGAAAUUGGUGGGAUAUUUGUAAAUGAAAUUAUUAUAUUUUGACUAAGGCCAAUUGUAUACCCACAUACGACUAUUUAUCGAGAAUGAUAAAGGAUGGAAUUGAUUGUAUGAGAGAGUGGUAUACUAUAUCGGUCGACGGGCAAUAUGUCAGCUUUGGGUGAGCAGUAUACUUUAUUAUCAAUUUUGGGUGAGCAUAUAUAGUAUACUGGAAUUGGCCUGUGGGCCAUAAUCUAUCAGUUUUUGGUAAACUAUGCUAUCUAUUUUCAGCUUUAGGUGAGCAGUCCUAGACUAUGGUCGGACUUUAUAGAUAGUAUUGAAUGUACCAACCAGGAAAAUGUCAUGGUGACAUGUAAUCGAUUAAGUCGAUUGAUCGUUGAGUCGAUAUGAUUGGUGGAAUGUGAUUGAUUGCUGUAGUUAUCAAUAUUAUUGAUUGAACUGAUGUGCAGGAAGGAACUGAUGCCAAGGUAAGCCCUUUGACCUAUGGUGCUUAGGCAGCCCUUAUGGCGUAUUGGCUUCCUAAUCAGGUCUUAGUGGGGUAGAACUUGCUGAGACAUAGUCUCAUCCCGGUUUGGGGAAAAUAUUUCAGGUUCCUAGAUGACGAUCAUGGAGGAUCGGAAGUCUUGGAGUUCAGAAGGUGGAGGCUGAAGAACCGGCAAAUGGGUCUGACUAGUGGAUAUUUAAGACAGUCCCCUUUUUGUUAAGCCAACAAUUUUGCAGACAGCCUAAGUUUGUACUUAACCAGUUUGUCUAUAAAGACUUGUCUUGGUUUGAAAAAUAUGAUCCUACUUUUCUAUCCCAUUAUUUGAUUGUCUGGGGAUUUUAUUAAGCUUCCGCAUGCGUAUAUAAAUGAAUGGGUCGGCGACCUUCCUGGGACGUUGCAAAUAAAUUGACCGUUUAAGGGAUGGGCGCGUGCUCGAGGAUUGGGUCGUGACACUGUUCUCACCGUCAACGAUCCAAGUUAAUGUACUUAUGAGAAAUUUUCAUUAAAUUUAAUCAUUAAAUAACUAAAUUAAAUAACAUGUAAUAAUUAAUGAAUAUAUCGAUUUGACAUUUUACCAUCCGUUUAUUAUAGGUAUAUCAAUUUGUGACUUUUACAAUAUUAUUCCAAUUUAAUCGAGAUAAACGGAGGAUAAAUUUGUUAUAAAUAUAUUAGUUUUGACCUUAAAAUUUUAGAUUAAAUUUAUUAUAACUAUACUAAUUUUAAUUUUUUAUGAUAAAAAAUUAAUAAAAAAUUAAUUUAUCUAAUUUAUGAUUUUUCGUGAUGUUAACUCUUAUCAUUCUAUUUUAUCCCUUGCUUUUUCCAUUGUCCACGUCCUUUCAUUCCCUCGACCUUGUGCAUUUCUUCUUCUUCCUCUUCAUCUCCGUCUCACUUCUUCUCCAUGUGCUCUCGCUCUCUCUCUACGUUGUUCCUCAGCUAAUGUGGUUAAAGCUCUCAUUGAAUUCAUUCUUUUUUUCGACCGAAAAAGAAUUCGUUCUUUGCAAAACCGUAAUCUUCUUCUUGACUGCCAACUGUGGGAGUUGGGAUUUUACCGAACUGCCAAGAAAUGGUGAAUGUCGCCGUACAUAUUUCUUCGCCUUUUCCCUCCUUGGUUGAGCUUGCCUGAUUUCUCCACCCUGCGUGGGUCUCCUCUGGUCAAAUCAGAAACGCUGGGAAAAUAGUUUAAAUGGUGCUAGGGAGUAGGUCCUGUGAAAAUUAUGUUUAUCAAGAGACGUGUCGAGCAUCCGAAGGAUGGAUACCAUGUUGGAAAUUUCCUAUAAUAUGGGCUUACAUUAAUUAAUUGAUUUUCUAUUUUAAAUAAUCGGGUUAAUGGAUAUUCCAAUAUUUGUUGAACCUUAAAGUGAUCUGAUUGAAUUUGGUAUUAGCAUCUAUUGAUAACGGGUCUAGUUGAACAGCAAAGUGUAGGCAAUUGUGUUUGACUGAAGUCCGUAAUGGGAAGAGCCCAGUUGACACGCUAUUGAUUAGGGUUUGCUAGGUCCCCUCUCUAGCCUAUAAAAGGGUAGGUUAUACCUAUCAGUUGCUUUAAUCCCAUUGAAAGCUGCUAUAUCGAAAUAGGUCAUAGAGAGGAAGAUCUGGUGUUCCGAUAGAUCCCUGAUUAUCAGAGUGAUCUAGUUUUUUUCUGAAGCGAUGGCUCAAACAGGUACGCUUUAAUUCUGCUGUAUUUAUUGAUCUCGGUGUUUUACAAUCAUGUAUGGAUCCGUUUGUUCUUAAUUGAUUAAUUGUUUAUGAGAAUAAAUUUUCUACAUGUGGUAUCAAAGCCGAUCGUAUAUGAUUGUAGAACCCAAUUUUUUUUUUGGACAAAUUCGAAAUCCUCCUCUUUGAGCCGAAUAUGGGCAUUAUUUUUUCGUGUAGAUUUUUUUGCUUGAUUAAUCCUGUAAUCAUAGGGCUUUUGUUCUACAUGUUGAGAUCUUUCCAACCAUAUAUAAUUUGCAUAAUUUCGUUGAGAAUUGAGAGAGAAUUUUGAAUUUGAAAUUCUAGGGUUUAUGCAUGAAAAAAAGUUCUAGAAUUUUUGAAUUACUUGCAAUUGAUUGAUGUUCGAAGCAUAUAGCUGUAUGGGUAUUGUUAUAUAUUUGUUUUAGUAUCCUUUUGUUGUAUUAAAUUGAAUUUUUAGGGCUUAAAUUCAAGAAAACCGAAUUUUCGGCCAUGGGAGGCUUGUUCCGAAACUCUGAAGCUUACUUGUGAUAGAUUAACUUGGUUUUUUGUCGUUUGAUUGAUUAUAGUUAAUUAUAUUGAUGUUAGAAGCAAGAUCCAUGAAAAAAAUUUCAUAAAAAAUCAAAUAUAAUGUGUGGUUUUGGAGUUUCGGGUCGAAACCGGGUCGCACGACCCGGUUUCUUAGCAAAUUCAUGACUCGGCUGGAGGUUAAAGAAGACCUCCAGCCGAGCCGGGCCAAUGGAUGGGCGUAAGCCCAUCCUUGUUUCAAUCUUUCAGGUUCUGGGUUGGCUGGGCGUGAGCCCAAACUUGUUGGACGAGCAGGCCUGUCACACAGAAAGCCUAGUAGAAGGCCUGUCGCCCAGAAAGCCCGAAAGCAGAAUUUCUUUUAAAGUCUUUUUAUUUUGUCUCGCGGGCCAUUAGCCCAGAAACCAUUUGUAGAGCCCACGCAAGAAGAAAAAUUUUGGGCCCCCGCAUGAGCAAAGAUGGACUCGCGGGUCUGGCCCACGGUCUGAUUAGGGCUGCUCGCGGGUCCUGGGCCCGCGAGAGUCCAAAAUACUAAAUUAAUAUAAUAAUAAUAAUAAAAUAAUAAAAAAUUAAAAAAUUAAAUUAAAAAAAAUUGUGGCAAAAAUUGUUGUUUGAAAGAAUGCAAUAUGAUCUUUGGAAACACAUGUUGUGAAGUGUUUCAUAUUGUUUAAUGAAUUUUGGGCAUGAAUUUUAGAGCUCCCUAUUGAUAAAAGAUUAAUAUAUGCAAUUACUCGCCCAAAGGGAGUUAUUGUGUAUAUUAAUUUGGAAAAUAGCAUGAAAUUUAUUCCCAUAUUUAAAAGAUGGGGAUGUAUAAUUGAAAAAUAUUUAUCUGCCCAAAGGGGAUAAAUGUUUUGAAAAUUAUAUGUAAUUCCCCUCUAUGUAGAUAUUAUGGAGAUGUAUGAUUUAAAGGAUUUGUCUGCCUAAAGGGGAUGGAUUCUUGACAAUUAUAUGUAAUUCUCUUUAUUGUUGCUUUAUAAAUUUCAUGCUGGGAAAAAUAAUGGUGCAUUAUACACUCUGCCCAAAGGGGAGUUUAUGAUGUACUAAUUAUUUUUUGUUGAGUUGCUUAUUGCCCAUAAUUGAUCUUAUUGCAUUAUGUGUGUUAAACAGUUACCUUUGCUGUAAAUAACAACAAUGCCACGGUGGAAAUGUUAACUGGAUCAAACUUUAAAAGAUGGAAGCAAGAUAUAGAGUUUGCUUUGGGCAUCGUCGAUAUGGACUUAGCUCUACGUGAGGAUGAGCCUACCAGGCCCAAUGAUCAAAGUACUGCAAAUCAAAAGGCCCAUUAUGCUAGAUGGGAAAAAUCUAAUCGACUGAGCCUCAUUGCUAUGAAGAGGUCCAUUGUUGAGCAUCUAAUUAGUGGUUUGCCGGAAGAUACGAAUGCCAGACAAUUCCUUGAAGCAGUGGGAGAAAGAUAUAGAGUCUCAGAUAAGGCUGAAGCUGGGAACUUGUUGAGUGAGUUAACGAACAUGAGGUAUGAUGCUACUAUGGGUGUUAGAGAAUUUAUACUGAAGAUGGUCCACAUUCAGUCCAAACUUAAGACCCAUGAAAUUGUUCUUUCUGAAAAUUAUAUUGUGCAUCAAGCCUUAAAUGUUUUGCUAGCUGAAUUUAGCUAGAUUAAGACUGCUUAUAAUGCUCGAAUGAGACAUGGAGUGUUAAUGCCUUGAUUACUAAGUGUGUGACUGAGGAAGAGAAAUUAAAGAAGGAAAAGUAUGAGUGUCUGCCCACUUAACUACCGAUGCCAAGUUGAGUUCGUAUAGAGGCAAAUGGAAGCCUAAGGGGUCAAAUGCUCAUGGCCCAAAGAAAUGGCAAGACUUUAGGAAAAAUGAGAACUAUGGGAGGAAUGGAGAUAAGGAUUUUAAAUGUUUUCACUGCAAGAAGCAGGGUCACAAGAGAGCCAAUUGCUACAAUUUUCGAGCUUGGCUAAAAACAAGAAAAGAAAGUCACCAAGGUGAGUUGUUGGUUUGUUUUGAAUCAAAUUUGGUUGAUGUUCCUUUGGAUUCUUGGUGGCUUGAUUCUGGUGCUACUGUUCAUGUGAUUACUACCUUACAGGGUCUCACAAAUUUAAGGAGUCCAAGUUUGAGGGAGUCAAAGCUUAAAGUUGGAAACAAUACUGGAGUUGAUGUGGAGCGCAUAGGGACAGUUGUUUUGAAUUUAGAUUCUGGUUUUCAGCUUGUCUUGAACAAUGUCUUUUAUGUUCCUAAUUUUAGGAGAAACUUAGUAUCUCUUUCUUCGCUUGACAAAGCUGGAUAUUGUCUUCAUUUUGCGAAUAAAAGAGUGGAUUUGAGUUAUGAUUCCAGAAUUAUUGGGAAUUGUGUUUUGUCUGAUGGAUUAUAUCGAUUAUCCUUAUCUCCCGAUAGACCAUAUUGGUCUUUCAAUGUCGAGAAUGUUGUUGCUAAGAGAUCUUUAAUCAAAGAUAGAUCUUCAAUGCUAUGGCAUAAGCGAUUGGGGCAUAUCUCCAAAGAACAGGUAAAGCGACUUGUCGUGGCUGAUAUUCUCCCUCCUCUUGACUUAGAUGAUAUUGAGACUUGUAUUGAUUGUGUGAGGGGAAAAUGAACUAAAACAAAGAAGAAAGGCGCUACUCGAAGUCAAAGUCUAUUGGAGAUAAUUCAUACUGAUAUUAGUGGGCCAUACUCAACCACCUUGUGUGGAAAUAAAUACUUCAUCACGUUCAUUGAUGAUUUCUCCCGUUAUUGUUAUCUUUAUCUAAUUAAGGAGAAGAAUGAUGGUCUUGACAUGUUUAAAGUGUUUCGUACUGAAGUUGAGCAACAAUUGGGAAAAAUUAUCAAGAUUGUCAGAUUUGAUCGCGGUGGUGAGUAUUAUGGGUGAUAUACUGAGGCUGGACAACAAAAUGGACCGUUUGCAAAAUAUUUGCAGGACUAUGGUAUUGUUGCUCAAUAUACAAUGCCUGGGAGUCCUGAGAAAAAUGGUGUAGCUGAACGGCGAAAUCGUACACUCAUGGAGAUGAAACGAAGUAUGAUGGGCAGUUCUAAUUUGCCUGAAUACUUAUGAGGUGAUGCGAUUAAAAUAGCAACUUAUAUAUUGAAUCGUGUACCUAGUAAAUCGGUGCCGAAAACACCUUUUGAAUUGUGGACUGGGAGGAAACCUAGCUUGAAUGAUUUUUGAGUUUAGGGUUGUCCUGCAGAGGUGAAAAUUUAUGAACCUUCUCAGAAGAAGACCAAAUCCAGGACUACUAGAUGUUAUUUUAUUGGAUAUCCUAAUCAUUCUUAAGGGUAUAGGUUCUAUUGUCCUUCUCGCGGCACUAGAAUCGUUGAAUCUCAAACUGCCAAAUUCCUGGAAUUAGAUGUUGCUGAAAAGACUUCUUCUCAAUCUUUCGAAAUGGAAGAACCAAAUAAAACGGUCUCUAUUCCAUUGCCCAUCUUACAUGAUGAUUCUAUGCGAGAUCCUAACAGUGUGGAAAUUCAACAAGAAGUAAAUACUGAAAAUAUGGCGAUAGAUCAUCCCAUUACAAAUGAAAUUCCCCAGAUGAAUGAUGCGGCUCUAGAAAUGCCUGUGCAAAGAUCACAGUGACAAAGAAGACCAACACUUUUAAAUGAUUAUCAUGUCUAUCUUGGAGAAGCUAAUUUUGACAUUGGAAGAGUAGUUGAUCUGACGACCUUCAAAGAAGCUCUUAAUAGUGAUCAGGCAGAUAAAUGGUUAUGAGCGAUGAAUGACGAGAUGAUGUCCAUGUCAACUAAUCAAGUGUGGAAACUAGUUGAUUUACCUGAUGGGCAUAAACCAAUCAGCUGCAAAUGGGUAUUCAAAACUAAGAAAGACAAUAAAGGCAACAUAGAGAGAUUCAAGGCAAGGUUAGUCGCAAAAGGGUACACACAAAGAGAAGGUAUUGAUUAUAAUGAAGUCUUUUCCUCAGUAUCUACUAAAGACUCUUUUCGGAUAAUCAUGGCUUUGGUGGCUCAUUUUGAUUUAGAGCUUCACCAAAUGGAUGUCAAGACAGCUUUUCUAAAUGGAGAUCUGGAUGAAGAAGUAUAUAUGCAGCAACCUGAAGGGUUUAAAGAAGCCGGAAAGGAGCAUAUGGUGUGCAAACUUCAAAGGUCCAUAUAUGGUCUCAGACAAGCAUCACGUCAGUGGUACUUAAAAUUUCACAAAGUUGUGAGAUCAUUUGGUUUUGAAGAAAAUAAGUUUGAUCAAUGCAUCUACAUAAAAGUAAGUGUGAGUAAAUAUAUUUUCUUAGUACUUUAUGUAGAUGACAUUUACUUGCUAGCAGUGAUGUUGAUCUAUUGAAUGACACCAAAAAUUUUCUAUCUACAAAGUUUGAUAUGAAAGAUUUUGGGGAAGCCUCUUUUGUUCUAGGCAUUGAGAUUCAUCGUGACAGAUCUAAGAAGGUUCUGGGGUUAUCUCAGAAAAGUUAUAUAGAUCGUGUUUUGAAAAGAUUCAAUAUGCAGACUUGUAAGUCAGGUGAAGCUCCUGUUGUGAAAAGAGAUAAAUUGAGUAUAGAUCAAUGCCCCAAGAAUGAUGUUGAAAAGAAAGUCAUGAAAAUGUUCCAUAUUCUAGUGCAGUUGGCAGUCUUAUGUAUGCACAAGUAUGUACCAAACCUGAUAUUGCUUUUGCUGUGAAUAUUCUUGGAAGAUAUCUGUCGAAUCCAGGUGAAGAACAUUGGGUUGCAGCUAAGAAGGUGAUGAGAUAUCUACAACGAACAAAGGAUUUCAUGCUCGUUUAUAGCAAAGUUGAGGACCUAAAAGUGAUUGGAUAUUCAGAUGCUGAUUUUGCUAGUUGUUCAGAUGAUAGAAAAUCAACUUCUUGAUAUAUUUUUAUGAUGGCUAGAGGUGCUAUUUCUUGGAAGAGCACAAAGCAAACCUUGAUUACGAACUCUACAAUGUAUGAUGAGUUUGUAGCGUGCUACGGCGCGUCGGUUCAAGUAGUUUGGCUCAGAAAUUUGAUCUCAGAAUUGCGUGUUGUGGAUUCUAUUGCUAGACCUAUGGUGAUCUACUGUGACAAUACCGCAGCUGUGUUUUAUUCCAAGCAUGACAAGAUUAGUAAUGUGUCCAAACACAUGGAGAUCAAAUAUUAUACUGUUAAGGACUUGGUCAAAAAUGGAGACGUUGUAAUUGAAAAUAUCAGAACUGAGUCCAUGUUGGCUGAUCCUCUAACAAAAGGCUUACGACCCAUUUUGUUUAAAGAACAUGUAAAGAAUAUGGGUGUUUUAGAAUCUUUUGAUUUCUUUUGUUAGUGGGAGUUAUAUAGUUUGUAUUUCUGGAUAUUAUAGUUAUAUGCAGACUGAUAAUGUUUUUAUGAUGUCUAUUAAAGCAUUUAUUUUCAAUGAUUGUUGUUAUUGAUUCUAUUGUUAUUUUUUCUCCUGUUGACUGAGAAAUGGAAGUAUAAACCAGUAUCUUUAAACAAAUUUUAGUUUAAAGAUGACUGGAUGUCACUGAUUAUGAGAUCUCAUGUUGAAUUGUGACAUAAUUGUGCAAUUUCAUGUUGUUUAGAAAUCGCACUGAGGCAAUUUCAUGUUGUUUAGAAAUUGCGCUAAUGCAGUUUCAUGUCGUUGAGAAAUUGCAUUGAGGACCGAUAAGUAAUAGUGUAUAUCUUGAUCACAUGUUGGCACUAUUUCUUACUACACUACUAGGCCCAUGAUCCAUGAAAAUAUAAUACUUAUUAUAUGUGAUUAUGGAAGGUCUUGUGUUGUGGUAUUUUCUUAACACAUUGAUCUUCAUAGUCCUAUAUUGAGGUUAUAUAGGAUUGGAUUGGUAUUGAGAUGCCAUUAUUGGAAUAUUAUUUUUUAAAAAGUUGUGGCCACAUAAAACAAAAUUUCAGUUAUUAACCCGAUAGUGUCUUUUUCAAAUAUAAAAUCCUUUUCAAGAUAAAAUAAGUUAAUUAAUAUAGCCCAAGUGGGAGAAUGUUGGAAAUUUCCUAUAAUAUGGGCUUACAUUAAUUAAUUGAUUUUCUAUUUUAAAUAAUCGAGUUAAUGGAUAUUCUAAUAUUUGUUGAACCCUAAAGUGAUCUGAUUGAAUUGGAUAUUGACAUCUAUUGAUAACGGGCCUAGUUGAGCAGCAAAGUGUAGGCAAUUGUGUUUGACUGAAGCUCGUAAUGGGAAGGGCCUAGUUGACACGCUAUUGAUUAGGGUUUGCUAGGUCCCCUCUCUAACCUAUAAAAUGGUAGGUUAUACAUAUCAGUUGCUUUAAUCCCAUUGAAAGCUGCUAUAUCGAAAUAGGUCAUAGAGAGGAAGAUCUGGUGUUCCGAUAGAUCCCUGAUUAUCAGAGUGAUCUAGUUUUCUUCUGAAGCGAUGGCUCAAACAGGUACGCUUUAAUUCUGCUAUAUUUAUUGAUCUCGGUGUUUUACAAUCAUGUAUGGAUCAGUUUGUUCUUAAUUGAUUAAUUGUUAAUGAGAAUAAAUUUUCUACAUACCACUCAUGCACCAUUCUUAUAUCAAAUGCCAUUGCGCUGCAUGUGUGCAAUCAUUACAUAAAUGUCUUUUAACAUUCUAUGAUGUCUAUGAAUCAGUAGACCCAUUCAACUAUUCGUAAGAUUGGCGUACUUGGUCGAUGGCGUGCUCGCCCCUCUAGUGAUGGGAGUCGUAACAUGAAGGAAGAGAUGUAGCCUUUCCAAUUUAUUUUUUUAGGACGAAGAAUCCUCUAAAGCGAGGGGGGAAAUUUCACUGAUCAAUCCAUCCCACCUUUGGACAGCUAAUAGCUCCAGUCAAUGAUAAGAUAGAACAGCAUCGUGGAAGGUCAGGUCGGAAAGUGAAAGGAAAAAAGAAGAAACAAACUAGAAAAGAGGGACAUUAAAGACGCGCAUGACAAAAUUUAUAGAACAAAAAUCAAUUUCUAGUCGGAAAUUGAUUUCUCAAUUUAUAUUUCAUGGACGAGUUUCUAAGCAAAGAAACGCGUUUAAUAGCGAUUCAAAAUUUCUAUUUUUGGAAUAAAAAUUCGUUUGGUAAAAUAAUGAAAUUUCUAUUUCUAGGAGCGGCGAUGACCGGCAUUCGGUGGCCGGAGUCCGACAUCCAGCGAGUGGCGAGAGUCCAAAGUCUAACGUCCGACAUAUGGAGUCUAGCAUCCGGCGUUUGGCUCUGGCGUCCGACAUCUGGAGUCUGGCGUCCGAUAUUUGGAGUCUAACGGCCGGUGGCCGGUGGCCAAUAGUUAGUGGCCAUUGGUUGAAGUCCAGCGGGCAACCGACAUCCAACGAUUGGUGGCAAGCAACGAGCGAUCAGCAGCAAAUGUUUAGUGGUUGACGGUGGGCCUCCGGCAUCUAGCGAUUGGCCAUUGGCGAUGAGCAGCCAACGAUCGACGGGCAUCCGGCAUCUGACGGCCGAUGGUCGACGACGGGCGGCCGGAGUUCAGUGGCCCGCAGUUGGUGGUGGGCAGCCGAUGGCAAGUGAUCGGCAAGUGGAGGGCAUCCAGCGUCCCAUGGGCGGCUAGUGGGCGAUGGGCGAUGACAAGAGUGAAUGAUGAGAAAAAUUUUGAUUUCUUAUUUCUGUUCCAAAAAUAGAAAAGUUAAAAAUUUUAACUUCUGAUUUCUAUUCCAAAUAUAUUUCUGGAAUAAAAAUCCAUUUCAAAAAUAGAAACAUUAAAUUGCAUUACUGUCGCGACUAAAAUUUUGAGUGAAUCACCUAGGAUUUAACUAAUGGAUUACUAAGCCUAAACUGGGUUUGACUAAUGGAUUACUAAGCCUAAAUUUAGCUUAGGCUCUCCUAGGCCCAUUUCAAUUUGUGAUUUAAAUUCAAGUUCUUAACAUGCAAAUGAUUUUUUAAUCAUGAGUCGCCACUGAUUUAUUUUUCGGUGGGUCAAUUAGAAACCCAAAUAAAGUAAUAGGAGAUUUACUUUACUCCUACGAAUCAGAGAUUAUGAGUUCAGGGACUUGAUUACGUUAGAUUUCUCUGACGCCUUUUCAAUACCUUUUCCUUUUAUUUUGAAAAAAAAAAGGGUUUUGCAAGCAGUUUAAAUUGAUUUUAAUUUAUCUCCCUAACAUGUGAGAGGUGUGUAAACCACCAAUUUAAUACCUAGAUAAAGUAGUGAAUAAAUUGCAGAACUUACCUCAUGGCAUCGAAAGCAUCUGCAAUAUUAGAUCAGAAAUUUUAUUUAACACGUAAUCACUUAAUUUUGUUUUCAAUCAUGCUUUAUGCAAUGCAAUCUAACCACAUGACCUAAUUCUAAUGAUGGGCAAUUUCUAGCUAAAUGGACCUAGCAACAAUCACUAAAUGACAUGCAUUUCAUGAACUUUAUUCUAUAUGACGUCAACAUGAUAUUUUUAUUCUCCUACAAAGCAUGCAAUCUAUCCUAGAGAAUGAAAUGAAUUUACUCUAAGACAAUUUUUUGGUAUUUUUCAUGAAAUUCGAAAUUAAGAAAAGUGCGAAAAUUAUCUGCCUAGAUUAAGAUAUCAUCCAAUUUGUAUUAGGAAUUAGGUUAAGCCAAAUCCUAAUUUAAACUAGAACAUUAUCUUAACCAAGUAAUCCUAAAAUGCAAUCUAUCUAGGAGAAAUUAUCUAAAUCUAUAAUUAAUUUAAAAAAAACACGCAAUCUUAUCCUAACAUGCAAUGACGUGCAAAGAAUGCCCUAAUUCUAGUUUUUUACUUUUUCUUUUCUAUGAAAUUUGAAAUUAAAAUUGCCACAUAAUUAAAUGUGCAACUUAAUUUUUUUUUUUUUUAAAAAAAAAAACUAACAUCCUAAAUGAAUGCAUUUUUUGGAUUUUUUAUUUUUUAAAAAAUUCGAAAUAAUAAAUCUCCUAUUCUAGAUAUGCAAAAUAACCCUAAAACAAGAAAUAAACCUAAUCUAACUCACAUUUUUUGGAUUUUCUUUUAUGAAAACAAAAUUGAUUCAAACCACACGAUGAUAAUUCAGAGCAAGAUAAGAUUGAUAUCCAAAAGUUGAUGUAUCAUAUCUCGCGCAUGGGAUUGGAUUGGUCAAUUUUAAAUAAAUCGUGAAUCGAAUCUCGAGCGUGAGAUCAGAUUGGCAAUUUUCCAGGCAAUUGCGAGUCGGAUUUCGGGCGCGAAAAUCAGAUCGUCAAUCCCUAAUUUAAAAUGGUACUUCAUGUCGGGAAUUUCAAGCUUACUUUGGGGAAUAUUUCAAAUGAAGAAACAAAAUAAAUAAUCAUAAUAAUAAAUAAAAAUAAGAAAUCUAUCUAAUUGGGAUUUUGAGCUCCUAAACUAGGGUUAGCGUAUGACGGCUAGAUGGGUCGCUGCAGUCGUGAUGGUGGGUCGCUGGAGCUCCGGCAAGGGGGCGGAGGAGGGCACAUCAGCAAUGGUGCCGUCUCCUCACCGUUCCUCUCUCACUUUUCUUUUCUGACCUGCUCUCUCUCCCCUUGCCGCACGUACCCUCUCUCACCUUUAUUUACUUUUUGACUUUUGUGUUGCUCUUUCGAAGAGAAGCCCCCAACGAAGGAACAAAAGAAAAUUUUCUCUCUUUUAUAUGUUGAAUUUCUGACAUAAAAAAACGAGAGAAAAGCCCCUCAAAACCCUACAUGAACAACCUUUUUAUAGGCCAAGGAUUAGGGUUUUAAUUUUUCAAAUCAAUAUCCACGAAAAUUUCUUUUCUGAACGCAAUAAUUACUCUUGAUAUGAUUCAGGAUUGCAAAAUGAUUUUUUCUCAAAUUUCAAACCCCGCAAAGAUGAGCUCGCAAUAUUUUUUGUCACACUUACCCUAUCUAAAGAUCUUGAAAAAUUUCCCAACAUAUCCCGGAAAAAUUUUAAAUCUCUAUUUUUUCACGAGAUAAUUUUCGAUAAUUAAAAAAAAGGGCUUUGGCUAAUUUGUUCCCUUCGUGGGCUUAGUUCAGCUUGUCAAUUUAAAGUUCAGAACCACCAAGUCGAUCCCAUCCGUCACCGGCCCAAUAUAAAUGUAAAUUAAAAAUAGAUGCACAUAAAAUUAUAUACUAUGCAAUUAAUUUUUUUUUUUGUAGGGGUUAAAAUUAAUCCUUGAUUUUUUUUUAAUGCAAUAAAUGACAAAACGGGUCCCCAAAAUUUAAGUAUCAAUAGUUACCAAACGGAUUUCUAUUUCAAACAUGUUCCAUGAAAUAGAAAAACAGAUAAAUCAAAAAAUAGAAAUUUUAUUAUAUGCACCCCAAAAGGUCAUUUGGAGGUGGCCAACUAGCAUUAGGGUAGAUAUUUCUAAAGCCCUUACAACGCCUCUUCUAGGGUCCAUGAAACGAAAAUUGUUAUCGGGAAAAUUAUUUUCUGGUUUUUGGAAAUUUUGAUGAUGGAAAAUUAAUUAGUUUAUGAAAAAUAUUUUCUAUGAAUUUAAAAAUAACGAGGUUAAAUUGAUGGAAGACGAUUUCCUCUUCUGUCAAGAUGAAAAUCAUUAUUUAAGACAACCAAAAAAACUUAAUUUUUCGUAAAAAAAAUGAUUUUCAUAAAAAAAAAUAUUUACUAAAACAAACGGAGCACUGACGUGGAGACAAAAAUACUUCGUCCAACAAGUCAAUACUCAGGAUUAUCUUCCCUUUUAUUUAAUUUCUUCUCCUUGUAGACUUCUUUUAACUCCACGAAAACUCCUGGUUACCUUCGCACACUCUUCCUCGCUCUAAACCCUUGAAUUUCUCUCAUUGUCAUUGCUUCGCUGACGCGCCUCCAUUGCCCUAACCCCAACCCCUCGGUCAUUCUUAGCGGCCCGACCUUCUCAAAGCCUAAACGGGGUAAAGUCAGGGUUUUCUAUUUGAUGGAAUUGCCACCAAUCAAUAUAUAAAAAUAAAAAGGAAAAUAACUAGGCUGAUCGGAUAUGUAGAUGUACGUGUGAAAGCGUUGGUCAUUUGCAACUUGCGGUCCGCGGGUUUGAUUACAUGUAGGAAAGGUCGGUAUCCCUCUCACACCCUUUUGGUACCACAAUUUUCAAUUAAGUCCUUUGCAUGAAUAUAUCAUUAAUUUCCUAAAUUUACUGAAGCAAUUUUGAUUUUUAUCGUAGAUGUAAUCGGGAAAAUUCCUUUAUUAUUUUACGCCCUAGUAUGACUUCGUAUGCCAUAUGUGUUUGCUUUAUGAAAAUAUGCAUGAAUCUUAAUCUGUAAGGUGUAUAUGGAUGUGCAAUUGGCUAAUGACGUGUAAUUAGAUCGAUUCGUGACUUUGUAGUUCAAACAAAAGUAAAUAAAAUAAAAGAGACGAAACUACUAAAAAGAUUACUAGUAACAAAAAAUCGAUUGUGAAUUCUGCCGAGACAAGAGUGUCUGUUUCAACUACCGAAAUGUCAAGAGAAGCCCAAUUAGCACGAAUAUUCAGUCUCUUAUACAUUAUCUACCAGAUGUUUCUCAUUCUUUGCUAUAAGAAUUGGAAUUUUUAUGCGGAUGAAUAAGGGAGUUUUGCUAAUGUAGCCUCCCCCCUUACCAAAUAUGAACAAGAAAUUUUCAACUCUAAGUAAGUUCUGAGUCGUAUCAAGACUUACGAAACAAUGCCAAGAUGAACAUCAAAGUGACAAGAUGAGCUCUUCACAGGCAAACAUCAGCUCAUUCUCGUACCUCUUCAGCACAAACCUCUCUUCAGAUGCUAUAAUGCUGGUGACAACACAUUUCUUGUCUGAAAAUGGCUUCCUACCUGUCCUUCCAGCUUGAUGAAGGUAAUCCACGGCACUCCUCGGAAGAUCAAAGUUGUAAAUAUGAGUUGUUUCCGGCAGGUCAAUACCUCCGGCUGCGAUAUCGUUGCUACAAUAAGACAGCCUUCUUUUUGUCUCACUUCCUGUAGUCCAAAUACGGAGGAAUUAGAUAUGAAGUCGGACUAUACAUAUUUUCACCAAUGGACCGCUUAGGAUGUGCUUAGUAUACCCAUGUUUAGCAUGACGAGGAGUAUAUGCCUAUUUUAACUUGAGAAGGUCUACUUUAGGCAUUAAUAAAGGUUAUGAAGAAAGAAAGAAACGGUUUUCCUAAAGAAAACACAGUUGUAGCCAGAUAAUUUUCUUAAGUGGUAUAAUCUCUUUGAUCCUGAUUAGUGCUACCAAACAAUAAUGGUCUGUUAAGGUUUUGCAGCAUCCUUCAUCCUGUCUAAAAAAAAUCCAGCAUCUCAGGUCCGCAGAGAAUAAGGGUAAAAUCCAUCUCAUUCCAAAUUUAUUAUAGGACAAACACAGUUGAAGGGCAUAUCUUUAAUAUGCCAAAUUUCUACCCUGAGCAUUCUCAAAGUGAGGGAAGAAACAUCAUGAUGGAAAAAGUGAAAAGCACUUACUGAGAGUGUAGCUGCUCGUGCAUUGAAAUUCAUGUCUUCUUCUAGAAGGAGAAUAUUAGAGCAGCUUCCAUAAGAAUUCUUCAAGAAUUCAAGUAGAAGAGUUGUUGGUGGUACAUUUCCAGCCUUUUUUGACUUCUCAGACUAAACGCACAAAAGAUAGAAUUGGUUAGUUGACCCGCGGACAGUUGUUUAGAAAGGUGUAUUCACGUGAUAUGUGUGUGCUCAUGAAUGCUACAAGCUUCUGUAGAAUAUAUAAAUAAAAGCUGCAUUCACUUUAAUACAUUCCAAAACCCUCUCCGUGCAGGAAAACUUUCAGGACGUUGUAAAAAAUUCUCCAUAUUUGGAAACCAAUUUUCAUUCAGCAACCGAGAGAAACGUCAUCAGAGAAUAAACUUCUUUCACUCGUGUAAAGAACUGCAUAUAUGUUUUAUUUGAUGCCCCUGCAUAUGGACAGAUGAGCUUACUGAUAAAUGCAUGAAACUCUCUUCAGUCCAUUUAUUAUAUAAAACUGAUAGCCCAUUAGACAUUUUUAGCUAAGACCACUAAUCACUGCCACAUGAAUUGGGGACAGAGCCUGCCAUAUCAUACAUCAGUUGAUGUGUCUCGACAUCAUUUUUCAUUAUCCAGAUAAAAAUCUACUUCUUCCUCUCAUGCUUAUAACAAGUACAGCACCAAAAAAUGUGAAUAAACUACGGAAAAGAGAUGCAGGAUGAGCAUCAGGCAGUAUACCUGUUCGCCAAUAAAUAUAAUGCCAGAUUCAGGGCUGUCCCACUGUAUUAAAUGUAGCAAGGUCUGAUGUCUCCAACUCCUAUGACAUGUCUGAAACAGAUAGAAGCGUUAAGCAAGUCAAAAGCCAAGGAUCAUCAAUUCAGUACAUGGACUAUGAAGAUGAACAUUAAAUGAACAUAUGCAUAACUUCUAUGAAAGAGUCUGUAGAUCAAGUUUCGCAUUCAAUGUCCUCACCACAAACCUAUGAUCUAGACAUGAUGGCAUAGGCUGUAUUGGAUUGACGUGAACGUGAACCACAUCACCCUGUAACAGGCAAAGUCAUAUUAAAAUAAAAUCAGUGAGUGCAUGAGUAAACCCCAACAGAACAUUCACAAGAAUUAUAGCUUCAUGAAACCAACCUUAGUCCACUUCUGUUGUAUACAAUCAUGUAAAAAUCACUUAUGCUGAGGUAUGGAUGCACUAGCAAAAACAGUUUGAUGGUUGUUGCAUGAUGAGUACGGUAGGCAGCAUCAAAGUAAGAAUGUCAGUUCUUCAUCCUACAAUAUCCAGGAAGAAUCAUGUCUGUAUAAAACAAGAUACCGAGGCCCCAGUGGGAUAAUCGCACAUUUUUAAUCAUACUAACAUGGUGAUUACAAAGUACCCAAUGAAAUAUACUCACAAAGAAAUAGACCAAUCAAGGCACUACAUGCUAACUGAAUAUCCUUUCUUAAAAAGGACCCUGCACCAGUCACUCUAAUCCCUAUAGGCAUAUAAGAGGCAAUAAAUGCGCACCUUAAAAAUACUCUUAAUUUGACCCAAAAAAAAAAUACUCUUAAUUUUAAAACCAUUAAAAAAAAAUUGGCCCCACUAGUGAAUGCCUGGGGAUUUUUCUGGAGGAGAAAGUGAUCUAGCAUCUUAACAAGAAUAUGGGGUUAAUGAAUCAGCUUUAAGAUGCCAAGCAGGUCUUGCUCCGAAAAGAAGAACUCAACUUAUUCCAAAUUGUUUACCUCAUCUAUCACUAGAAUCUGCACUGUGUCGAGUUCCAAAAACUUGCUUCUCCAGCAUCUGGCAUGAGCUCCUGAUGGUUGCCACUACUAUUGCUGGGGGUUCUGCCUAAAAAUGUUACAAGGAAAAGCCAAGGAGGUCAUAUUGAAGGUUGACACAUGAAAUCCAUCAACAGCAUGCUUUAAUUUUAGAGAAGCAUCCCAAAGACAUAGCUACAUUAGGCAAUUGAUAUUUGUUGGCACUUGAACGGACAAGUGUGGGGAUUCGGGUGGGCAUAUAAUUGCCAGCUUGUGUUAUCAUGCUUCUGGUCAGACAGGUCCUCUGUUCUCAGGUUUAAAAACAUCAGUGAGAAAAUUUUAGGCUUUUCCUCUUCUUAGUACAUCCAUAUAUAAGAUUCAUAAUCUCAAAAGCAGGAAAUUCCACUAAAACUAAAAAUCUAGUUACAGGGGUACUUGUAAGAGCGUGGACAGAAUAACAAAAUAGAGGAGCAAGACAACCACAAAUAUUCAGUCAAGAAAAGGUAGACAACUAAACAGACACAUGAGCAUUGACAAAGAGACAAACUUAUUUUGCCCAAAAAUGGAAGAAUUAAUAGAAGCUGUAUUUAACUGAGUAAACUAAUGCGUGGAAGAACAGUUUUGCAUAAGUUGCAGGAAAAAACAAUUUUGCAUCAUUAAACAUACACAAGCAAAUGGAUACUGGCAUAUGAUAUAUAGUCAAGAAAAGGAAAAAAGCACAUAACACAAAAGCCUUCUAUUUUACAGAGCGACCACAAAAAUGUCAUUGAAGUAUAUAGGAAGAUAGCUCUGCUAAUGGGGUUUAGGUCACCCGGGAGAGGGAAGAAUAGUGGUACCACCUAAGCAUUUCAAUAUUGAUUCUCCAUAACUUCUCCUACAUAAGGAGAAUACCAGUCAUUUCCUCAGAUCAAUAAGUAAACUAAUUAUACAAGGGGUUUCGAGAAUUAAUGUUUCUAUAUAUAAGUUGUAAUGACAGUUAUUUGUAGUUUAUCAGCGCCAGCUUAACUGUAAUUUUAUGCUCAGAAAGCACACCACACACAUGCGCACAGAGAGAGAGAGAGAGAGAGAGAGAGAACCUUUAACCAACUCCUGUGUCUUUUCAAUGUACCUCCAUCUAGAAGAGCCAUAACAGUACAUGAUUUAUCUUGCUCCAUUUCAGGAUUCAUUGGCUUUGCAGCCAACAGCCGAGCAACUUUGGCUACCUUGUCAUAAAUGGAUAACAAUAAGAAGAAGACGUGACAUUAUACUCUUAAUGUAGCACGACACCAUUUUGCGCAGAUGUAACAACCACUUUCUGAGUUACAAUAGUGAAAGAGAAGCAAAGACAAAAGGGAAAAUAUCAAAUGAAAUAUCAUAAUCAGAAACUUACCUGAAUGCCAAGUUCUCGGGUGGGGACAACUAUUAACGCUUGUACAGAAGACCGUGUUCAUAACUGAAAAUAUCCUCAGAAGGUACGUCAGUGUCUUCCCAGAACCUGUCUGGAGGGCCAAAAGCAUGAGUGCACUGGCCAUGUCAAUGCAGGAUCCUUUUACGUUUUCUUCCCUAGUUGAGUUCAUAUGCAGAGUCAAAAAGUAAUUCCAAUUGAGUUGGAAGCCUGAACAUUAACAGGAUAGAUCAUAUCACAUCAGACACAUAUUAGACCACUCUUUUCGCAAACAUCUCCUCAUAACUCAAUAAACACAACUGUGAAUUGACCAAUAUAGCGGGAUACUUCAUGACUGCCUAGUACAGAGCAAUCUUUAGCCCUUUUGAAAAGUUGCACACUAGUUCUUCCAUUGGUGUUUUCUACCAAAUUGCCGACGUGGGAAACUUUGCAGGAAACCGGAAACUGAUGUGAUAGAUUAAUUAGAUAUUAAACCACAUCUUCAUUUAAUAGCUUUAAAAUAGUUGGUAGGGGUCCACAAAAUUUCCCAUGGUAUAUCCCACAAAAUCUCACUAAUAAUGGUAAGUCUUUUCAAAUUCUCAUAAAGAGACUAAGACUGCACCGUACAAAUUAAAAGGCUCCGGCAUCGGACUUGGUUGCAUUUGCUGCCUACUUCCAGCGUACUCAUUUUAUCGUUUUGUUCUUAACAGAAAACUGAAAUCAAUGGCAAAUAAGAGACCAACCUGAGCAUGAAGCACGCAAUCCCUCCCAGAGAAAAGGGCAGGGAAUGCUUCCCUCUGAACAUCAGUCGCUAAUACGUACCCAACUUCCUCCAUCCUGCAAAACCGCCCAAACAUAAAUUCUCCACAUAGCUCCGAAAACCCAACAUCGGCAAAACAACAUCUCUCACUUCUCGCUCUAAAGUAACAAUCUCUGAACUCGGUAUUCGCACUUGCCUGCGCAGGACAUCCUCGUGCACGCGGCCGCUACAAAUUCUUCUCAGCGUGAGAGGGGCUGGCUCCGGGUCGGCCUCCUCCGCCGCGGGGGAGAAGCCGACGAGGGCUCGCGGCGGCUCGCGGCGGGACGUGGAGAGAGGAGAUUGAAUUGGGCGAGCGGCGACGAGGGCCGAGAACUUGGGUUCGGGGUUGCGGAGAAGGAAGAGGGACGAAGGAGGGACGAGCUUUGUUGCGGAAGAGACGGGAGGACAGAGAAUGGCGAGCGGAGUGGUGGGAGUAGAAGAAGAAGAAGAAGAAGAAGCAGCCAUUGUCGAGCAAAGAAGCUCGCUCCUCAGACGAGCAGCUGGUGUAUAGCAGAUACGUCUUCAACUUCGCUGUACCCCAAAUCCUCUCCGUUUGCCUCUUCCCCGAAUUAAAUUAGAUUUUGGAUCCAUUUAUUUCACAAAAAAAAAAAAAUAAUUAAUUAUCUUAAAAAAUGUGUUUUAAAAAUAAUUAUUUAUAUUACUUAUAAAAAUAAAUAAUGAAUUAUCAUUAAUAAUGAAAAUAAUUUUUAUUAAUGAUUUUAAUUGAUAUCAAUCAUCGUUUAUAGAAAAAUAUUGUUAAAGUUAGUCAUUUUCCUGGAACAAAUGAAGUUAAUUGACAUUUUACUUGAAAACAAUAAUGAUUGAUUUAAAUUUGGUCGUUAAAUAUCACUCUCAACUGCCAUGUUAAACAAAUUUACGCUAUUUUUCUUUAUUUUACAAGUAAUUCUCAACUGGACUAUGGCUUCAUACAUAUGCACAUUUUCUCAAGGUAAAUUCCGUUUCAAUAAGUUAUACUGUGAUUCUUUUUGGGACUUGUUGCAUCAUACAUUAUAAGAUUGAUAGAUCAAAAAGCAAAUUAAUAAUAUUUCUAGCAUAGAAGAAAAUAAAUAAAUCAUCUAAACAGCGGUAAAAAAUAAAAAAAAUAAAAUUACCGACGCUAGGAGGGCAAAAUGCUUAAGAGAAUUCAAGUAAUUUUGGAGGGGCGGCGGCUGUUCCUCUAAACAUUGGUUCGAAUUUUCUUCUUUUAUUUGGCUUUUCCAAUUUUCCUUCUUCUUUAUAGUCAUUUUCUAACAUGACGCUCGUAUGACACCGCAUCAACACCAAAUGUCCUUAAAUAACAUUAACAAUGCCAUGUGAACUACCACAUAGGAUUUUUAAGUGUAGUAUUUGGCAAAAUUGUGAUGGAUUUUUUUUUUUUCUGAAGAAGAAAAUUUGUGCUAAUUGAGAUAUAAGUUUAGGAUUUUCGAUAACACAAAAAAAAUUCAAAUAUUGAUGUCACAUUUCAUAUGGUUUAAGAUUUAUGAUGUCACAUCUUUCUAACCCUUUCAAGGCUCACAACUCACUUGGAUUUUGAGGCGAGUCCUAAUGCUUAAGAUUGUUGCACUCAUGAAUGACAUCCUUUAGGAUUAUAUGUCCCUCACAACUCAUUGAAUCCCGCAAAUUGAGAGGCAGUAAAUUUUGCACACGUAGCAUUUCUUCUAUAAGCAAGAUCUUGUAGAUAAAAAGGAGGUUUUGGCAAAAAGAUGAAAUACCCAUAAGCAACUUUUUCCGCUUCUUGUCCCUUUUUAGUAGGUCGAUUAGAACCCAAGUAAAGUAACGUGACAUCUAUUUACUCCUACGAACUAGAGAUUUGUGAGUUCGGGGACUUAAUUACACUAGAUUUAUUUAACGCAAUUUAAGUACAUUUCUCUUUUAUUUUCAAAAUUUUUUGCAAGCAGUUUAGAUUAUUUUUAAAUUUAUUUUCCUAACAUAUGAGGUGGUUAUGUGGGUGCACAAAUCACCAAUUUAACACCCAAGCAAGUAGUGAAUAAAUUGCAGGACUUAUCUUCUAACAACGAAAUCAUCUGCGUUGUUAGAUCAAAAUUCACAUCAACAACCUAGAUAUGAUUUCUAAUUAACACGCAAUUUCUUUUUUCGUUUUCACUUAAUUAAUGAGAAUCAUGCUUCAUGCAAUACAAUAUAACUAAAUGACAUAAUUCUAAUGACGGACAAUUUCUAAUUAAAUGAACCCAGCAACAAUCACUAAAUGAUAUGCAUUUCAUGAAUCUAAUUUUAUAUGACAUGCACAUGAAUCUAUCAUAGAAAAUAAAACUAAUUUAUUUUAAGACAUUUUUUGUAUUUUUUAUGAAAUUCGAAAUAAGAAAAAUGUGAAAAUUAUCUAACUAGAUUAAGAUUCUAUCCAAGUCAGGCUAAACCCUAAUUUAACCAAGAUAUUAUCUUAACUUAGCUCUAUCCUAAGAUGCAGUCUAUCUAAAAAGAUUAAUCUAAACAUCUUAAUUCUACAUGACAUAUGCAUAAUGAUUUUUUUUUAAUGUUUUUUUAUAAAAUUCGAAAUUUAAAAUUGCCACAUAAUUAAAUUAAACAAAAACUAACAUCCUAAAUGAAUGCAUUUUUUGAAUUUUUUUAUUUUUAAAAAUUCGAAAUAAAAUUCAUAUUCUAAAUAUGCAAGAUAAUAAGAAUUAUUCUAAAAUAAACCUAAUCCUAAUUCAAAUAUUUUUUGGACUUUUUUAAAAUAAAAUAAAAUUGAUUCAACUAAUAUGACGGUAAAUCAGAUAAUAUAUGAUCGAUAUUCAUAAAUUAAUGAACCAUAUCUCGCGCAUGAGAUCGAGUUAGCCAAUUUUUAAAUAAAUUGCGAAUCGAAUUUUCGACGUAAGAUCGAAUUGACAAUUUUGCAAGCGCGAGUUGGAUUUUGAGCAUGAAAAUCGGAUUGUGAAUCCCAAAUUUCAGAGGCAAUUUCAUGUUGGGCAAUCUCGAUCUUACAUCAACGAAUAAUCAUACUAAAAAGAACAAGUAAAAUAAAAUAAAUAGAAAACUACCUAAUGUGAUUUUCUUUUUUUUCCUUUGUUUCCAAACAAUGGCUUGGCAGCUCGUGGUGGUCGCCAAGGGUGGCUGGCCGUCGGUCCGGCAAGGGGAACUCCGGCGAGGGCGGACCGGCAGGAAAGGGGCGGCACCCGGGCAGCAGGGACAGCCAGCGGAACAGGGGCGUCGCGGUCAGAGCUGCCGGCGUUCGGACUCCGGCGAAGGGCGUCACGGCCAAAGGACUUCGGGUGCGGUCGUCGCGGGCGAAGGGCUACAGAUCCGGCUCGGGGGUCGCUCGGGUGGAGGGCUGCAGAUCCUGCUCGGGUGGUCGCUCGGGUGGAGGGCUGACCGAAACGGAUCACCGGCGAAGGCGAGGCGGCGUUGCUGCGUCUGGGCAGAAGGUUCGGCAGCAGGGGAGCAGAGGACUCACGGCUUCGAGCGGGCGGAGCAGAGCAGCAGCAGCGUCGCAGGGGGUCAGCAGCGAGUGGAAGAGGCUGGGUCGCGCCUGUCGGCGUUGAAGACGGAGGCAGCAGCAGCGACGGUGGACGUGCGGACGAUCGGGCAACAGGGAUGUCGCGGUGGUGCGGCGCGAGGCCAACUCAGGCGAACAGGGGGCGUCGGGCGCCGAGUGCUGCAGCGGUGCCACUCGGGGAAGCUCGGAGCAGCGUGCGGGCCGUCACUCGGAAAGCAGGGGGCUGCUGCUGCGUCGAUCGAAGGCGGAGGCUGGCGUCGGGGUUUGUUGCAGCGGGCAGAUCUGGAGAAGCGGCAGCCAACGCGGGGGCAGCAGACCGGCGGCGUGGCAGCGUCGUGGCUGGGUCGCAGUAGCAGAAGCGGAGCCGGCCGGGGGAGAGCAGAGACGGGCGGAGAGAGUUGAGGAAGACGAUAAACAGUAAACGUCCAAUCACUCCUCGCUUCUGCUUUUUCCUUUUCCCCCAAAGCACCGAAGGCCUCUUUUUCUUUCUUCUUUUCUUUUUUAUUCCUCUUGACCUCGAAAAGAAAACCCUAGGGAAGUCCCCUCUCUCAUGUUUUUCUCUCUGAAAAUUUUCCCCCUUUAAUGUGGCCGAAUGUCUCGAUUGCGUGGCCUUCCUUCUCUCGAAACCCACAUGAGUAACCUUUUCAUAGACCAAAAGAUUAGGAUUUUAAUUUUCUUCAAAUCAACGUUCGCAGAGAUUUCUUUUCUGCAUGCAAUAUCACUUUUAUUUCUACACCUCUUCUAGAUUUUAUUUGUAAAAAUGAAUAUUCUCUAUUGAUUUUUCAAAAAUUAUAAUAGGAUUUUUUUUCAAAUACGUGCUCGAACCCAAAUUGCUCUUUUCGUAGGCUUAGUCCAACUUGUUAACUUAAAUCUCAGAACCACCAAAUCAAAUCCAUCUGUCACCGACCCAAUGUAAGUGCAAAUUAAAAUAAAUGCACCUAAAACUAUAUGUUAUGCAAUUAAUUAAUUAACUAAUAUUUUUUUAGGGAUUAAAAUUAAUCCCUAAUUUUUUAAUGCGAUAAAUGACUAAACUGAUUGCCAAAAUUUAUGUGUGAACAGGUCGGUUUUGGAUCAUGCUCAGUCUGUGAGCCGUGUCACAAGCAUAGUUUGUAGAUCACGACAGCAAGCUCCAUCUCUAACUCUCGUCUCUUCUCUCUUCACUUAUGAGGAGAAAACCAAAAUGUUCUAAUUAUUAAGGUGCUUGAUGGCGAUUGGGAUUAUGCCCCAAUUAUUAGUUUUUGCUGCAUGCUCUUUUCUCAAGAUCUCAAACAAACAAAAAAAACACAAAUAAAUAAUUAAUUUUAGUCAAAUGUGCAAUAUAAUUCCUAAAUCUUUUGGUAUGAAAAUGAGAGAUUAGUUUGAACAUAUACUAAAAGUUCAGGAACCACAUUAAACAUAAUAAAAUGUUAUAAACCGCAUUGAACAAAAAAAAAUCAAUGAUUACAUUAUACAUUUGACUAAAGUUCAUGGAUUAUUUGUGUCAUUUUCCCCCUUGAACAACCACCCUCCUCCGCAAAAUUCAAUUGAUACACAAUAUUAUAAGUGUCGAAAUAUUUUAAUAUCAAACCGUGCCACAUCUAAGAGCAGUUUUACUAAAAUUUAGAGGAAGUUUCUUGUAAAUUUGGCUGAACUCCCAAAAACAAAUCCCUAGAUUGCGAUUCUUGCUCUACCAUCUCUUUACCGUCUAAUUAGCUCCUCUACCCUUGUGUGUAGAAAUGCCUUCAUCAACUUACAAACCCUAGAAGAAAAAAAAUCCCACCGAUUAGCUCAAUGAUCACCACGAAUUCCCACGCAGCUUUUGGUGCUUCUCUUUUUCUUUUUCCCCUUUUCUCUUCUAGGGGUUUGAUGUCACACCCCAAAAAACCCCAACUGCUGCCCUCUUCUCCCUUUCUAUAUAAGCCUUCAAAUCGAUUAUCCAGGUACCAAUCUUUCAGAUAUAAAAGAGGAUGAUGGGGCCUCAGCUUGAUUGGCUAUUCUCUGCAAAAAAAUUGGGUAUGUCACUCUUAAAUAAAGAUAUUUUAGGAAUUGUAUUAGCUGAUAAAAUAGAGGAAUGCCAACCUAUUUUAAUAGGUUAGCUAUACCAAAAUCCUAGUAUCAAUUUCCAGGCAGUUCAAACGACAAUGAGGUGAGCAUGGAAAAAUGAAAAUGUAAUAAUCAUACCUCAGGGGCAUAAUAUUUUCAGUCUCACCUUCAAGAACGAAUUGGAAAAACUAGGGUGCUAGAGAGAGGCUCUUGAUCUUUUUCAAAUCAAUUACUACUACUUUAGAAUUGUGAGCCAAAUACUCCUCCCCACUGUUAUAAGUAUGAGAAAUGUACCUUCUGGAUUUGAAUACUUAGUCUGCCAAUCGGCUGGUUUUCCUUGGGGGUAGUAGAAUCUCUAGUUAGUUCAGCACGCCAAGUAAAAGAAGUGAGAAUAGAGGCUCAUGGCCCUGCAGCCCAAAGAACAGCCAAGGUUAUAGUGGAGUUAAACUUACAUGAAGCUCUAAGAGUAGCUACUUGAACUACCUAUAAGGGCAAGAAAAUUUGGCUAGACUUUAAGUAUGAAAGGCUUCCCCGCUUUUGCUACUCAUGCGGGAAGAUUGGUCAUUAUGCAAGUUACUGUGAAGAAAUCCCAUAUGAAGAAGAAAGAUUCACAACUAAGCUGGGAAGUAGCUUUGGUAGCUGGAUAAGAGUUGAAUCCUAGGCGAACAGUCCAUUUUGGAAAAUACUCUAUGGGAAGGAGACAAUGGAAGAUCUAGUUAAAGAAAUAAUUCCAGAAACCCCGGUGCAUCAAAGCCAAAUUAUUCCUCUAGAACUUGCUCAACCAUCUUGAAUGAAAGUUGCUGAAGAGGAGGAAGGCCUGAGAAUAUGCUAUUUGAAGUAGACAAAGACUACUUGCGGUAAAACAAAAACAGAAACUAGAAAGGAGAUUAUGAUGAUUACUAGCCCUACUCAAAAGUAGAUUACUCCCAAGGUAAAGCUGUCCCUUGGUCUUAACAGUAGCAGCAUAAAGAUUGGCAGGGGGCCAAAAACCCCAAAAGUAAAAAAGCAGAGGAGAUCCAACUCUUAUUGGUGGAUGAGUCCCAACUUCUUUACACUCCAAUCCUUAUGAUAGAGGAAGCAACAAAAUGGACUUUAGUGGCUAGCCUAAUAAGUCAUUGGGGGACAAAUGGAGAUCCUAAGUUGGAAUUGUCCAAGAUCUAGGCAUUCCCUUGACAGUCCAAAUCUUAGAGCUUUGGUGGCUCAAGAGAAGCCCAACUUAGUUUUCCUAAUGGAAACUAAGAAUCAAGAAGCAGUAGUGAAACGAGUAAAGAAGCAUCUUAGUUUUCGGAAUCACUUUGUAAUUAAUCUAGUAGGGAUUGGAGAAGGGUUAGCUAUCCUAUGGGAAGAUCAAGUAAAGGUUAAUAUAGAAUUGGCUACGGCUAAGUUUCUAGACUUAAUAUGUGAAUUUCAAGAAGAUAAAAAGUAAAUGAGGGUUACACUAGUGCAUGUCCCUACUAAUUAUUGAGAGAGGUCUUUACUUUGGAUGAAGCUUAUCUAGAUAAGCUUACUUAAUAACCUUCCUUGGUAUGUUUGAGAGACUUUAAUGAAAUACUUCACCAUUGGGAGAAGGAAGGGAAGAGAAAAGCUGCUUAUUAUCACAUGUUUGCUUUCAAUGAGUUUCUGAAUUCAUGCGCAUUAAUGGAUAUUGAAUGCAAGGGAUAUGCUUUCACCUGGUCAAAUAAAAAAGAAGGGGACAAUUUUGUGAAGGAAAAGUUAGAAAUGAUUCUGAGUAAUAUGAAAUGGAGAGUUUUUUUUAUCCAGAAGCAGUAGCCUUUGCUCAUCUAGCAAUUGAUUCAGGCCACACCCACUUCUAUUAUCCAUUACUGCAGAUUUAGUGAAAAGGAACAGAGUAAUCGGGGUAGAAAAUUAUUGGUUCAGAGCUGAUUAUUUUGUUCAAGAAGUUAAUAAAGCCCGGUCCUCAAUCCCUGAACAAGUAGCCAACUUUCCAAGGAAACUUCAUACAAUAUAUGCUAAACUGAAAAGAUGGAGCGGUCAAAGAUUUGCAAAUUGUUCUUGAAGAAUUAAUUAUUUAAAAAAGGAACCCUAAAAAUAGCCAACUCUUCCAAAACUUUUGAUAGAAAUAGAGAAAAAAGACUGAAAUAGGAGACAUAAUCUUUAUGGCAGCAAGAGGAAAUGUUUUGGUGAAUGCGCUCAAGAAUCAAAUAAAUGAAAUGGGGAGACAAAGAUACAAAAUUCUUGCAUGCAAGCACUCCGAAACAAAAUUUCAAUGCUCAAAAUAGAAGAGGGGUCCUCGAUUCGCAAUGAGAGGCUUUUACACUUAGCAGACAAUAGAUUUAUUUAAAAGCCUAUAUCAUUUAGUGGGUAACAGAAACUUUGACCCAGUUUUAGAAAUCAUUUCUACAAUAGUACAUGAAGAUAUGAAUGCAUCACUUACUGCUACGGUCACUUUGGAAGAAGUCAAGCGUGCAGUUUUCCAACUAUGCCCUCUAAGUGCCCCUGGACUGGAUAAUAUUAAUGCGAAAUUUUUCAGUUCCACUAGAGACUCUUCAGUUCAAAGUAUUUCCAGUAGUUAAGAAUUUUUUCAUGUAAGGAAAACUGAAUCCUGAUUUAAAUAGAACCCACAUUACAACAAUUCUAAAAACUUCUAACCCAUAAACUCUCGAUCAAUUCCGCCCCAUACGUUUAUGUGAUUUUGCCUACAAAAUCACAUCCAAGGUAAUGGUGAAUAGACUAAAACUUUGGUUAUCAAAAUUGAUAGCUCAAGAGUAAAGGAACACACCCACUUCUAUUAUCCAUUACUGCAGAUUUAGUGAAAAGGAACAGAGUAAUCAGGGUAGAAGAUUAUUGGUUCAGAGCUGAUUAUUUUGUUCAAGAAGUUAAUAAAGCCCGGUCCUCAAUCCCUGAACAAGUAGCCAACUUUCCAAGGAAACUUCAUACAAUAUAUGCUAAACUGAAAAGAUGGAGCGGUCAAAGAUUUGCAAAUUGUUCUUGAAGAAUUAAUUAUUUAAAAAAGGAACCCUAAAAAUAGCCAACUCUUCCAAAACUUUUGAUAGAAAUAGAGAAAAAAGACUGAAAUAUGAGACAUAAUCUUUAUGGCAGCAAGAGGAAAUGUUUUGGUGAAUGCGCUCAAGAAUCAAAUAAAUGAAAUGGGGAGACAAAGAUACAAAAUUCUUGCAUGCAAGCACUCCGAAACAAAAUUUCAAUGCUCAAAAUAGAAGAGGGGUCCUCGAUUCGCAAUGAGAGGCUUUUACACUUAGCAGACAAUAGAUUUAUUUAAAAGCCUAUAUCAUUUAGUGGGUAACAGAAACUUUGACCCAGUUUUAGAAAUCAUUUCUACAACAGUACAUGAAGAUAUGAAUGCAUCACUUACUGCUACGGUCACUUUGGAAGAAGUCAAGUGUGCAGUUUUCCAACUAUGCCCUCUAAGUGCCCCUGGACUGGAUAAUAUUAAUGCGAAAUUUUUCAGUUCCACUAGGAGACUCUUCAGUUCAAAGUAUUUCCAGUAGUUACGAAUUUUUUCAUGUCAGGAAAACUGAAUCCUGAUUUAAAUAGAACCCACAUUACAACAAUUCUAAAAAUUUAUAACCCAUAAACUCUCGAUCAAUUCCGCCCCAUACGUUUAUGUAAUUUUGCCUACAAAAUCACAUCCAAGGUAAUGGUGAAUAGACUAAAACUUUGGUUAUCAAAAUUGAUAGCUCAAGAGUAAAGUGCAUUUGUGAGUGGGAGACUUAUCCAAGACAAUAUCAUGAUAGUGUAGGAAGUGUUGCAUCAACUAAGAGUAAAUAAGAGGAGGAAAAAAUUCAAUGUGAUUUUGAAACUUGAUAUGAAAAAAAGCUUAUGACAGAGUAGAAUGGGAUUUCAUGGAGGCGUGCUUAAGAAAACUAGGCGUUGAUGAAAAGUGGAUUACAUGGAUUAUGCAAUGUGUGGCUUCAGUCUCAUUCAGUGUUAAAUUUAAUGGGAAUCCUCUCCCUUACUUCCAGCCUUCGAAAGGACUUCGGCAAGGUAAUGCUUUAUCCCCAAGCUAUUUCUUUUGGUAGCAAACGUAUUAUCUCUUAUAAUGAAGAAAGUAGUGGAAUAUGGCAGUAUAAAGGGUAUUAAGCUUAACUAUUUUUGCCCCACCUUAUCACAUCUCCUAUUUGUGGAUGACUCUAUCUUCUUUUUAGAUAGGAGAAUUCAAGAAUGCUAUAUGUAUAAGAUGGACUGCAUUAGUAUUGUUUUACCACUGGACAAGAGAAAAACCUAAACAAAUCAAGAAUAUUCUUUAGCUCAGGGUGUCCACAGACCUUAAGAGCCAACAUGAUUUAUGAAUUGCGUGUUCCUAUAAUAGAUAAAACAGGAAAACACCUUGGAAUAUACCAUUAGAUUGCGGAGAGUCUAAGAAGAAUAUGUUUGCCUAGAUGCUUGGAAGAGCUAACAAAUAAUUGGAAGGUUGGAAGGAAUCUUUAAUUUCUAAAGCGGGGAAGGAGAUAUUACUAAAAACAAUAGUGCAGGCUCUUCCUCAAUAUGAAAUGUCAAUUUUUAAGAUUCCUGAUUCCAUAUGUAGAGCAAUUGAAGAGAGAAUGGUAGCUUUUUGGUGGAAAAGCAGAGAGAAUUUCACUCUAGUAUUCAUUGGAAGAGUUGUAAUUUCUUGAAGCAAAGGAAAGACAAUGGAGGCAUGGGAUUAAAAGAUUUACUUUCUCUUAACAAGGCUUUCUUAGGUAAGCAAGCCUGGAGAUUAAUGCACCCUCUUUAUGGGGUCAAAUUUUUAAAGGGAUUUACUUCCCAAAAAGGAGUUUUUGGCAUGCAAGGGAAGGGCAUAGACCCUCCUGGGGCUGGCAAGGUUUACAAGAGGGAAGAGACUCAAUCUCAGAAUCUUCAAUGUGGAUAGUGAGAACAGGAGAAGCAAUCAGUAUCAAAGAGGACAAAUGGUUGAAAAGAGGAGUAAUUGGAGGGCUAGCGAAUGAAAAUGACCCACAAUAGGUAGAGGAGCUUAUAAACCACAGAGAGAAUUCCUGGAAUGAACAUCUUCUUCAAGAAGUUUUCAAAGAGGACACUAGGAAGGAAAUUCUAGCUAUUUGUCUUAGAAAUCACUCUAUUCAAGACAAACUGGUGUGGAAUAGCAAAUUACAUAGUAAAGAGUGGCUAUAACUACAUAAGACUUACCGAGGACAUACGUAAAGCUCCAAUGGCUCUCCUCAUCUUUCUCGGCUCCUCGACCUAUAUAGAAUAAGUGUGGCACCCCUCGACGGCCCCCGAACCGUUAGGGUCGCCACAGUUUGAUUACCAUUCUCUUGCUUGACCUGAAGGUCUAUCAAUCCUAUGGGUUUAUAUCAUUUAGAUCGGUCCUUGUGCAAUUUAUAUGGCGAAAGCGUAUCUAACAACUCCCUUCCCUAUAUUUAUAAAACAAUGCACACCAACUAAACAUCUUAUAUAAGUUAACUCGAACACUUUUAUUUACAUAACUAGAUGGACAUCAUUCGUCGGUAUACCAAAAUGUCAUAGUCUUCUAUACUCGGCUAUACUUCAAAAGAUGACUGACAUCUUUUUUUUUUUUUUGCAACAGUCGUAUACUUAAAGUUCAUCGAUUAGUGUUGGCGUCCAAAAGUUCAUUCCUCUGCUGUCCUCCUCCUCGCGGCCAUAUCCAACCACUCGGUCCAUCUGCUGGUGGCGGUGGCAGUAGAGGUAUCUUGUCUAGUCUGAAAUGUUAAUCCCCAAACGGGGUGAGUACAACCACUCAGCAGUAAAAGAUUCAUCAAGCUAUAUCAAGCAUUACUAUGAAUAUCCAGAUUCAAGUAUGGUAGACAAAAAUCAGGUAGUUGAUGGAUCAAUAUACAUCAAAAUCAUGAAAUCCUUUAAUGCUAUGGCAAAUGCAAUUUUAAAAGAUUUAGAUGCAUCAUGUCCAGUUACACCAAUCCCGAUUAUGGGGCCAAACCGUGAUGACACGUCCUAUUUCAUGCCAUACAAUUUAGUCUCAUAACUAGACCACACUCACACUUAAUAUAAUAAUCAGUUUUAAUCAUUCAAACGGUUUUAUCCCCCCCCCAAAGGACCAAUGUUUGCAUCCUUCUUGGGAUUCCGCACCCAACCCUGGCGUCGCGGAGGCCUCCGGGCAUGUAUUCAAAAUACAACCAGGCAUCCAAAGGGCAUCGACUUAUUCGAACCUUUGAGCAUCUCGCACCCCACCUGGUAUCAUGAGGAAUUACUGGGGACCAUAGGCAUGGUUACCCCAAACCUUUAGGCAUGCAUCAUAAUACAACCCCUCACCCUUCGGGCAUGUAUCAUAAUACAACCGGACAUCCCCACACUCCCGAGGAAAAACCUCUGGGCAUGUAUUCACAAUACAACCAGGCAUCCAAAGGGCAUUGACUCAUUCGAACCUCUGGGCAUCCCGACUCCCGGGGCAUCGUUGACCCGAGGGUCCAACGGUAACAAUUAAUAUCUUAAUUCCCAAAAACUCUAUUCAAUGCAAUGAAAAAAUGUCUCUUGAGUCUCAUCACAUCUCAAUAUUGCAUGAUAUGCCAAUUCCAGUAUCAUCAUAUCACAUAACCAUUACAAAACAUAUUCACUUUUGGGACAUUUUGUGAAAAUUCGAAAAUAGAGCAACUUGAUUUUACCAUGCACAGUUCUGGUAAAUAUUUCUAAAUAAAUACUAAAUGAGCUCGGAAAAUUGUGAAAUUUUAACAUGUUAUCAAUGAGACUUUAAGAAAAAAUUUUUGUGAAGAACACCAUGUCAAAUUCCUUACGUAUCAAGAGUAAAAAUUCCGGUAUUCCUUAUUGACGUUCUGUAAAAUUUCUAGAUUUAACAUUUCCAUAUAAAAAUCAUUUUGUCGACCAAAUAUUGUCCAUUUAUGCUAAAAAAUUUUAUAUGUUACUUCUACAGAUAUGUUCUCCAACUUUCAUUAAGGACUCGAAAGUCAAAUUUUAGCUAGAAAAUUACAGAAAAAUCAAAAAUUCACCGAGGGUCACACUGUCCUUCACAAAACAGUCCAUUAACCUAAUUGAGAGUUUUUUUUCCUACUCCUUGAAUUUCGACCUCCAACAUCCACAAUCAAAUAGAUACAAGUGUAUUACACUAUAACACAGCCUUAUCACUUCCAAAAAUCCUCCAUAGUCAGAUUUUUAAAUUCUUGUUCCAUCUCAAAUUCGAAAUCCACAAUGCAUGCCCUGUUUUUCCUAGUUUUCUUGAUCUAGCUUCAUCUUACAUGUCCAAAAUCCAACAUGCAGCUCUAAAAUUUCACCUUUCUCACGUCCACCAACUCUUAGUUAGAUAAAACAGCAAGCAAAACAUAGAUUGAAGAACUUCUACUUGCCUUAAACAUCUCUACUCGAUCGCUGGCCAAAAACAGGGGUUCGGGAGGGUCUUGGCUUAGCUCAACAGCGGCGGGGAUCGGCGGCAUCAACGGCGACAGCUUGGACAUGGUGGAAGACGGCCUUCCUCUUCCCCCUUGCGGCUCAUGCCCGUACGCUCGCUCACCCUCUCUUUCGGUCUCUCACUCGACCCUCUCUCCCUCUCUCAAUUGCUCGGUUCACUCCCUUUCUCUCUCUGCCCUUCAAUUCCGAAACCCUCUCCCUUUUUGUUUCCUAAAUUGGCUAGCAAUCAUUUGAUUUUGCAUGCAGGAGACACUUGGUUCCAAGAGGAAGACAAGUGGCUUCACAGAAUGAACAAGUGGAGGCAAUCAAAGACAAGUGUUGGAUGGCAUCCCUCACCCCCCCCCUUUUUUUUUCUUGGUCUGGUCGACAUUCUUGGGGGGCUUUUUGGGCUUGCUUGGGCCCGAAAUUUUGGGCCCAAAGUCCUUAAAAUAAAAGCCCAAAUUAAUUUAAUAUCCCCAUAAUCAAAUUGUUUCAUAUACAAGGAUAAAAUCGAAAUUCUUGCGUGCUGUCCAACAUUCUCAAAAAUUUUAUUCUUUAAAUUUCAGCAUGCACAUUCCUUACGAAAGACCGAAUUCCAUCCUUUCGGUUCAAAAAAAAAUAUUAAUCAAUCAUAGUCCAAAGAUUUUCUCUUGUUGCAUGGUUGAUCAAUCCAUCGCUUAACAUACUAUACCAAUCUGACAAAUAAACAAAUACGGAUGACUGCCUGUCAUUUAUACCAUUGCUAUAGUUCGAUAAUACUUUUAUCGAUUGGUCAUGACCGUCACCUGUCUAAGGAUCGUUGAAAUUCUUGGAUGCCACAAUAAGAUCUGGAAAAUGCAAACAAUCUCUAAAAUUAAGUUCUUCCUUUGGAAUGCAUGUCAGAAUAGUCUACCUACAAUGGAGAACUUACACAAGCGAAAAAUGGUAGUGGAUCCUCUUUGCUUCCUAAGUAAAGGUAAGGUGGAAUCCAAAGAGUAUCUCCUCCUUUGUCCUUGGACGCAAGAAAUUUGGGCCCAACCAUCCCUAAACAUUCAAAAAACCUACCUUCUCUAGUGCUUGUAGCAACCAUCUUUAAAGGUCAACAUCGAUGGAUCCUUCAUUGAAAGCUCUACGGAAGGAGCAAUCACCUGUAUUAUCCGAAACUCAGGGGGAACGCUUGUGGAUGAGAAAAUAUUGGAAACACUAGACUUCUUACUCCCUCGAAGACAUGAUCCCCUCAAGUUAAGAGUAAGACAAUCUGACUUUAGUUAAAGCUAUGUAGAAUCCAGAUCCUAUUCCAUGGGAUGCACACGCAAUCAUCUCCCAAUGCCUUGAUCUGUCAUCCAGCUUCUCACAUCUGCGUAUCACCCGUUGCCAUUGUGAAGCCAACUCUAUUGUGGACUGGGCCGCAAAAGCUCAGUGCCAAAAAACUCUGCCAAGGGAUUGGAUUUCUUCCCCUCCCCAAAUCUUGUUGGAUUUACUUUGUAAGGAAGCCCGGUUUUUGGGCCCUGCGUUUUCAAAUUGAAUUAAAGUUAAUCAAUUUAUGACCAAAAAAAGAAAAAAUUGGCUUCGUAACUGAAUAAGCAUAUCACCGAGUCAAUAGGUAAUUCACCACCUCUAGUGAUUCGCUAUAUAAUCCGCAUAUUCCAUGAUAUCCGCAUGGUUUAUGAUAACAACAUGUCCUACACCCAUAGAUAUGGAAAUAAGAUACAUCCAAUAAUAGGUGAGAAUGUCAUAUGCCAAUAAUAUAUAUAAAAUCUAUCAAUCAAAUUUAAAAGGUUAGAUCUAUUUAUCGUAUAUAACUGUGCCGGGAGAACUUGAGGCAAAGUUGGUGUAAAUUUUUGAAUGCAUUUUGUCCUAUUGAAUUGGUUAAAUGAAAACAUAGAAAGUGGGUUGUAAUUUUUAGUAAAUUGAAUCAAAACUGGACAGGAAUAGGACAUCGAGUGCGUAUUCAUCAUCCAUUCCGAAUCCUCCCACAUGGUUAGUAUAGCGAGUCUUUCAUCAAUCAGGGCUUCAGUAUCCCAAAUAGAGUGCAGUCUCAAAUGCACAUACCUAGACUCUAGUGACCUUGCUCUUCACACCAGAAACAUCAUCAAAUUUGGUUCAACGUCUAUCAUUCUGAUAGCAAAAUUAACCACGGUAAGAUUUCAACUUCAGGAAACUGUGUCUCCGAGACAUCCGACGGCAGCGGAUACAUCAAAUCCAAACCAACUCCAACCGCAGCUUCCCAAAGUAGAAACCUCUUAACUUCUUUAUUGACCCGACAAAGUUUAGCAGGCAAAUAUCGAAUGGCUUCCAUUUAAGCACGAAAAACCAAACCGAAAAUCACAGACAACUCCCUUCAAAUAAAGAUUCCAACAAAGCUCCAUGCAGGUGCCAUUUAUGGUGGCAAAUUGAAAUACAAUUGCAAAUUAUUGGGCACUAUAUCAACCUGAUUGGCAAGACAUUCAGUAUUUCAGAAAUCUUUUAUGUUCACAAACGGUUUCAGCUCUGCAAAGCUUUCUAUAGAAGGUGAUAAGGGCAAUAUGGGAUAACAACAUGUGGACAUCCUUACCGUUCCACGGAUGUAUCAUCAGCAUUUGGAGAAGUCCAAGCAACAUUGAGCUUCCUUUUAGAAUUGCCUUUCGAAAGCUCUUUCGGGCAUCUCGGCAUUUACAUCACAACCAGAUGGAUGAUAAUCAAAUCCUAUUAGUGAAUCAAAUCAAAUCGAUCUAGCAAUUAACAUCAGCGAACUACUAAUAUUACACCAAAGUUCAUAGAUCUUUCUUUGUAAAACUCAAUAUUAAUUUCCCUUUUGAACUCUUUCGAUCCAACUAAUACGCAUCAUAGUGAAUUCAACUUAAGUCGCUUGCUUUUGUGGUAUAUUGUAUAAUUAUUUUCAUUUCAUCAUGUGCUAUUCAUAUAUCAGAAUGAAUGCAAGAUAGUUUUCAAACGGCAUACAAGAUAAAGGAAAGUUUCUUCAAGAAACUUUGGGGAAUGCUUCCUGUGUUUUUUCUUGUCUCCAAGUAAAUGCACAAAUAAGAGAUUAUGCAUAAUAUAAGGGAUUAUUAUACAGUGCAAUCGAUUAUUCCAAAAGGCAUUAUCGUUCAUGUCUGCUAUCUUGAUUAUUUGCUUGACUCAAAGGUUUGGUAAUGGAUAGAUGACUUUGCUAACUAUCAAAAUAUUAAGAAGUAUUCUUCGGACUAAUCUAUUAAUUAUCUUGGACUUUUAGGUACAUCACGGAUUGACAACAGACGAACAUGGAUUUUAUAAUAAGCAAAAUAUAAGUUGCAAUUUUAUCGAUUGCUCCCAACAAUUCACAAUAGUUUUGCUUCUAGCCUGUUUGCUAGUUUAUUCACAACCAACCCGCUAGGAGAAGAGUUAGUUCUAGCAUUUAGGAUGCGUUUGGUCGUCUAAAUUUCUAAACGGGAUAGGAUUGGAUAUGAUAGGAUAAGAAAUCCAUGGAUUUCUUCAUAUCCCAUCAACUGUUUGGUGAAUUAUGGAUUUAAAGUCGGAUAUUUUCAUAUCCUAUCCAAUCUACUGUUUGGUGAACUACGGAUUUAAAGUCGGAUAUUCUCAUAUCCUAUCCAAUCUAUCGUUUGGUGAACUACGGAUUUAAAUUCGGAUAUUUUUAAAACAAUAACAUUAGGCAAGUACAAAUUUGCAGGUUUAAUAUUCACAAAAUCAUCCAAAACAAUAUAUCUUUUUCAAAUUAACAGAUUCUCAUUGAAUUUCAUGAUUACGCAUUGUAAUAAUCUUUUCCAUUCCUUUGAAAUAAUCUUUUGGAUACCCCCUUCAAUAUCAAACGUUUUUAGAAUAACCUCAAUUUCAUUAUAUUCACUUUGAAACAUGAAUUCUUUUUCUCUCUUACAAGUUUUUCAUUUGUUUCUAUUUUUUUAUAGGUCCAAUACCAAAUCAUGGCUAGGUUUUUUGCCAAAGAGUUAGAGAAACUAUUUAUGAAAAUAAAAUACAGAGGCAAAGAAUAUUAUAGAUAAUGGUUUUCUUGGCAAUGAACAUAGAGAUAAAGUUUCAAGCCAUAUCCACUUCUUUUCAAGUCAUUGCUACAACUAAAAGGUCCAAAAAGAUAACAUUAAAACUUAUAGCUAGCUCCAAAAACCCUUUAAAAAAAACAUAAAGAAGAAAAAAAGAAAAAGCAUGGAGAGAAAACAUAUCUCCUACAAACUCAUAAACAACUCAAUCAUCACUCAUUCUCUUCUCUCAUCUCUUGGAGAGGUAAUUCCACAAAUGCUUUCCUGUCAUCUCCUUGAAAUCCCAAAAAUAGAUGAAUAUUCUCAAGAUCCUUCACAAUUUUUCUACAUAAUUUUAUUCUAUCCAUAGUACCUAAAGACAUUUGAAGAAGCUCCUCAUUGAUUUUUUGCUUGUCAUUAUCCAAAUCCUUGGCAUGUUCGAUGCGGCUAGCGAUCAUCUCCAUUCUCUCGUUAGCUUUUUCCAAGAAUGAACCAAAAGUUCCUACUAUCUCAACUAAGCCAUCAGCCCAUUUGUCACUUGCUUUAGCCCUUUUUAUUUUUGAAGAAUCAUAAACAUUUUGUGCCUGAGAAGAUGAUAGUGGCAGUGAUUUUUGACUUACACCGUUGGUUGCCACAUUAUCAUGAUUUUCACCUUUCUCAUGAUCUACAGCUGCAUGAGCUUCUGAAGGGUCUUCACUGAGAUUUCCCUUGGCACGAUCUUUUCCAAAUACGAUUGCUAGUCAAUCAUAUUGAGGGAAGGACUUCCCUCUCAAAGAAGCAGCUCCUGGAUAGGUCUACAAAGAAAAUUAUAUUAUUUUGUUAAAAAUUAAACAAUUAAUAAAGAAGACAAAUAAGAAGAAGUGACACAAACCUUGCAAUAUUUUGCCCAACUAUCCUCAGAAUGAAUAUCGACACAAUGCUUUUCAUGGUCCCACCUAAAGCCACUUUGAUUCCUCAAGUCAUAUAUUUGAUUAUACAACUUUUUCAAAUUUUUCAUUUUCAACUCUUUGUGAGGAUUACCCUUGAUGCUAGAACAAGGGAACUUUUCUUCAAACCACUUUUCUAACAUAACCAUGUAACCACUCUUGAAGCCGUUAUUGGCUUUCAUUCCUCGCAUAACUAAUUCUUCAAGACCAUCUAGAAGUGCAUUUUCUUCAUCUAUUGUCCAUAUACGUCAGUCUCUCUUUGUUCCCCUUCCUUGAGUUUGACUGAAACUGCUACCUUCCAUUCCUAAACAGAAAACUAACUCAGCAUAUAUGUUGAUUGAGCCACUCCCAGAUUUCUUAAAGUAACAAAAAACAGAGAAACAAAAAACUAACUCAGCAUUCAAUCAGCCAUGAUAUUCAACCCACACAACAAGAUAUAGCCUUCCCUCACAAGCGAUGUGAUAUCAAUAGUGACUUUGCCUCACAUAAGCAAAAUGGAAAUGGUAGAAACGAUAUGUCUAGGUAAGUAAUCGAUUCCUUCUCCCACUAAAGCAAAUAUCAUCGACACUCAACACAGACACUGACAGAACAGCAAAUGUGCUAUAGAUUGACCUCAAAACAGCAGAUGCAAAUAUCAUACGAUAAUAUCUUGCAAUUUCUACUAAAUACAGGGAUCUCCUUCAUUGCUUGAACUUUUCUUACUAGAAAGAAAUUUACUUGAGAUUUACCUGGAGUGAGAAGAUCAAUACAUAAUGUAUGACCUAUAAAGGCAUAAUCAAUAGGGUUUUACAUUUGGGUUAUACUUUUACUUUUUGCUAAUCGGGCCAUGUUAACAACCCCACUCACUGCAAUCUAUCAAUGAUCUUGAUUAAUUCUCCAAAGAGUAGAACAAUGUAGCAUUGAAUGUCAUAUUUUCAAUAUCAAUGCUAGGUUUAUACAUAUACGUUUAUAUAUCUAUUCCUAAAUAAAUUUAUAAUGGAACUCCAGCACAUGCUACAUGAAAAGGUCCCAAACAAAAGGAGUGUGCAAGAAUUAUAACCAAAGAAACUUUCAAAUAUAUGCCAAAUUGAUUCCUAGUGUAAUAAAAAGACCCUAGUGCAUUAGAGAUCAAUCUCAUUGAGAAUCAAUCUUUUAGUGGGGGGCUAUAGAAGCAAUGUAUUGAACUAACUGUGAACAGUAAAUCUUCAAGAUGGCAAUAAAUUCUCCUAGUGCAAGGGAAUAGAAAGGGAUUAAUAAGCAGGGCUUUUCCCACAUCCAUGGCGUGCUUCUCUUUGUCAAUCAUUUUCCUUUUAAACUCAAGCAAUCAAGCAUGAGUCUCAAGUUCAUAAAAAAAAACCACCCAUAUAUUGUACAUACUUUUAGAAUAAUUUGCAUUACAUGCACAUUCAAACUAUCAAAUCCAAAUCCAUAAAAAAAAAAAAAAAAAAAAAAAAAAAAAAAAAAAACUACCCAUAGCUUGUGCACUCUUCCCCUCUGGCCCACAACGCCCAUCCAUCCAAUUUGAUGUUUACCGAGAAAGAAGAAACAAGAGGAGUUUGCCUAAUUAGAAGAUUAAAAGCUACUUUGAUGUUUCACCUUUCUUCUACAACACACGACAUUUUCAUCGUCAUUAACAACGAAUCAACAUUUGGCAAGCCUCUUAUCUAACUUAUUCGGUUUUCGAAAGCUAAUAUGGGAAGCUCGUAAAUCCACUUGUCUAUUCUUGUUAAGAAGCUAAUCGGGGAGUCUUUGGUCCAAUUACACGUGAAGGAACGCCACAAAAUACAAAUGGGUAUUUUAGUCAUUCUGAGCAAGGAUUUCAUCAAACCGAACACUUCAGGGAAAAUCCAAAAUAAGUUAGAAGAGAAUCGUACCGUGUUCAUGGUCACUACUGCCGGGAAAGGGCUUCGUGAAGAUGAAAAUCGAUGGCUCCUGGUCUUGGCUAGCCGAUUCGUCGGAGGGUCGGUUGCCGGAGUCGCUUGGGAUGACCGGGGGACAUUGAUCCUUGGGUUUGCAAAGAAGGUCGUGGCCUCCUCUGCUCUGCACACGGAAAAACUAGCCCUCAAAGAAGCGUCUGUUGCUGGUUGGGCGAGGAAAGGGAGAGAGAAUGAUUGUUUACCUUUGAAAAUUUGUUGCUUUCGUAAAAUUUUGAUGAGAAUCGAAGAGCUACUGAGGAGAAAGCUUCAACGUCGAUACUUUGGAAAUAGAGAGUCAUCUGUGGGUGAACGACGGAGAAAGAAAAAAAAAGCGUAGGGUUUUAUGUUUCAGAUAAAAGAAAUUCUAUCUGACUUUAUCCCACCCCCCUCGGAUUUUUUUAUCCGGUCUAUAUCCCUUCUAUAUCCGAGCUUAUCCUAUUUUAGACAGCUACCAAACACGGGAUAAGAUAAAACAUAUCAUAUCCUGAUUUUUAUCCAGUUGACUAAACGCAGCCUUAGUGUUUCGUCACUAAUACAAUUACAUUAAUAAGCUAAUGUGGACAUUCAGCGAGAUAAAAUGUGGGAAACACAACGGCUUGACAAAAUUAUCCCAAGUUGUACCUUAGAAUCCUAAAUUCACUCUUAACCGUACCUUAGAAAUAUGCAAUCAUAAACUGUACGAAGAACGCAGAGCAAACUAAGACCUCACAUCAGAAGACUGAAAACAACAAUGCACUUAAAAGGCCUUUCAACCAUUUCCAUGAACCUCGCCCCUGGAUUGCUUGAAUUAAAACAAGAAAACAAUAACACUGUCAACAAGGAAAUACUAAUGAAAAGUUGAUAAAAGUCAAAAGAAGUUGCAAUCAGCAAAUACAAAUGAAAAUUGGAUGAUAGAUCUCCAAAGGAAAAAAGGUAGCUUAACUGCUUUAUGUACCUGUUUUAGGAAAUGCAGAUCAUCUCAACUAUUCUAACUUAUCCGAGUCGUCUUGUCCCAAUAACCAACCCCUAGCUCCUAAACCCAUCGCAUGUUGCUCUAGCUCGUAAUUUUGAUAAAGCUGCCCUCUAGAUAAUUCUGGUAUUGUCUUGAGAGACUUGCAUCCAGAAAUGUCCAAUUCCACAAGUUGCUGCAAUUUCUCGAGCCCUUGAAGCUCAGUCAGUUUCACACAAUUUUGCACAAUCAGACACUCCAAGUUGGUACAUGAUGAAAAAUCAGGUAAGAUCUCAAUCGAUGAACAUCCCAAGAUAACAAUAAAUCGUAGGGAUGUCAACUUCUCAAAUCCUGGGAUCUCCCGAAGUUCAUCACAAUUUAACAGGUACAAAUACCGUAAAUUAUGAAAAUUUGACAAGUUUGGUAAUUUUGCUAAGAACUCGAAUCCCUUAUUAAUAAAGUCUCACAGGAUGUGAGUCUCUUUAGGUUCUGAGUAUCAUGAAGCUUGUCACAGUUAACAAUUUCCAAAAUUCGUAAGGUGUCAAAGCAACAUAAAUUUGGUAACCUUACAAGGGAAGUGCACUCAGAGAUUCUUAACACUUCCAAAAACUCCAAUUUAUCGAGGCCUUGAAUUUCGACUAAGUUUUUGCACUGGAGAACUUCUAAUUUCUUCAAACCCUUACAUUUUGAAAGGUCCAGCUGUUCAAUUGCAGAGCAAAGACGGAUCUUUAUCUCUCUCAAGAACUUCAAACCCUCAGAUUUUGAAAGGUCUAGCCGUUUAAUUGCAUCGCACCCAAAGAUUCUUAUAUUUCUUAAGAACUUCAAACCCUUAGAGUUUGAAAGGUCCAGCUGUUCAAUUGCAUCGCACCGUACGAUCAUUAUCUCUCUCAAGAACUUCAACUUAUUGAGGCCCUGAAUUUCGACUAAGUUUUCACAGAAUUGAAGAUGUAAAGUCCUCAGACCAUUGGAUUUUGAAAGGUCCAACCUUUCAAUCGAAACCCGCGAGAUCUUAAGGAAUUCCAAGAGCAUCAUCCUAUCAAGGCCUUGAAUUUCGACUAAGUUUUUGCAACCAUGACAACGUAGCCUUUCAAUUGAAGGGCAAUAAUUGAUCUUUAAUUCUUUCAAGAAAUCCAACCGAUUGAGGCUUUGAAUCUCGACUAUGUUUUUGCAAUCCUUAACACUUACUGUCUUCAAAUUCUCAGAUUUUGGAAGAUCCAGCCUUUCAAUUGAAUCACACUUUGUGAUGAUCAAGCUUUCCAAAUAUAUCAAUUUGUCAAGACCUCGAACUUCAUGCAUGUUAUGGCAAUGCUCAAUAAAUAAUGUCCUCAACUGGUUCAAUUGUGAAAUGUCCAUUAUUUCCCCAAAUGUGACGUUUGAAGCUUUUAAAUCUCGGAGCUUUCUCAUCCUAAAAAUACCAUUGGUUAAUUCUAACAUGCCAAAGGUACCACCAAUAUGCAGAAUUUCUAGAUUUUGUAAAGCUCCUAUGCUAUCUGGCAGCACCUUGAGUCUAAAACACUCCUCCAACUUCAAGCGUACCAGGUUCUUCAAGUCUCCGAUAGAAGAGUCAAUUUGCUCUAAUUUCAAACAAUGACAGAGUAUCAGAACCUCUAAAUUCUUAAAAGCUGAGAGGAAGACUGUGCUUCUUAAGGAUUGACAAUCUGUAAGGUCAAGAACUUUUAACUUCUCUGCCAUCUGGAAAAAAACAUAACAAUAAAAAUCGAGGGUUAGCCUAGAGCAAUUAUGAUUCCAAAGAAUGCAGAAAAAGAAAACUUAUUCUUCAAUCUUACCAUGGAACUCCAUCCUUGCCAUUCAUUUGAGAUCUUGCUCAAAGACAAAUCGAGUACGACUAAUUCCGUUAGGCGAAAAUUAUUUGCUUCAAAAGUUGAGGGACAACCCCGCCAUCGAAGCCAUUUUAACUCCCCCAUUGAAUUCUCAAAAUCUCCUCUAAGACAUGCCCCACUCACAUCAAGGAACCUUAGACCUGUUAACUUCUUGAAUUGCUCAGCUUCAAAAUUCUCGAAUUUCUCAGCCUCAAAAUUCUCGAAUGGCCCAGCCUCAACAUUCUCGAAUGGCUCAUCAAAGUGGGAAUGGUGAACUUUGUUAAAAUAAAUGGCCUUAAUAUUUUCUGUUCCCUGUAGGUAACCAUCAAUGUUCGUUAAUCCUAUUUAUAUCCAACAAAACUAAUCUAAUAUUAUUUGUUCAUAUUGCUAUAACAUGCAUAGACGUUCUUAAGAGACUAGUAAAGUAUCGACAUAUCAACUUUGAUAUUGAAAUGUGGCCAUACGUACUUGGAUCUUAAAAAGAAUUAUAAUGUUCUCUUUUUUUGGUUUUUUUUUUAAUUUUAGUUUGUAUAAUAGUUUGUAUAGUAUUACUCUUUAGUAUAAUGGCUCAUAAAGGGAAAAACUUUACAACUUGCAAAUCCUCUUCUUUCCGCUAAUUUAGCCGCAUUACUAUAUUAGUUAGGAGUUAGGACGUACAUUCAAUGCACAGGAUUUCACAUUAUGAAGUCCUUUUCUUUUCCGCUUCUUCUUAUGUAUAAAUUUCAUAUAUGUUACUUGAGUGUGCUACUUACCCCAUUAAUAAAAACUAACAUAUACUCACUGUUGUUUUUCCCAUUGGAGUAAUGUAUAAUUAUAAGUAACUGAACUUGUGAUGGUAGUCAUAUUAAUAUCCUGUGUAAUUUAUUUCAUUAUUACUAAUAACUAAAAUAUCAUUAAUCAAUUACUUUCUAAUUAUAGUAUUAUAUUCUCUAUAACAUUGUUUUAGCGUAAAUUAUGACUUAAUUAUAGAUUACAAUUUGAUUUAUUCUAAACAAAUCAUAACUAUAGAUGAUUGAAAUAUUGAAAUAUAAUAAAUGUAAUAUCAUAGAUCUAAUAACUUUGGUCCAUUCAAAUAUAAUCAGUUAUUAAAUAUGCAAAGUCAUUGCUGAAAUAUGAAAAUUGAAGCUAUGCUUAGCUACAUGGAAUAGUUUUUCCUUGGCCCCCUAAAAAUAACUAUUCCUGAUUUUGGGAGAAUAGUAAUACCUAAUCUAUUUUUGAAUAAAGCGAAAUAAUAACUGCUUCAUCAGAACAAAUGAUAAAUAGAAUAGCUAUUCUUGCGAACCAUUGUAGCAAGCUUUCAUCAAGAAAAAUCACUAAAGCAUUCGAAGUCGAGAAAAUUCAGGGAUUUACACAAUUUAGUUUCUCCGAACAUGAAAAUUUCCUUUGGUACUUCACAUUGUUGUACAAGAUUUCAUGGAUACUGAAAGGAGAAUGACGUAACUAGUGGAGGAGGAAAUAGAUUUCAACACCUAAAAGGAAUCCAAGUUAAGAGUAAUAAAAAAAAAAGGAAGCAACCUCCAAAAGAAGUAAUCAUACUCAGAUUAGUCAUUUCGCUCGUAAGCUUCCCUAAAAAUAUCAAGAAAUCCUAUCUGUCAUCAAGAAUUCUUUGUUUUCAACUGUGUAUCUUUUUCACUUUCAAGAAUCGAUCCAUAAAUUUUGAGUAUACUUACAGCCAAAUCCCAAAAACAAUCCCAACUUUUUGUACUUGGGACAAAGGUAGCACAAUCUUUCAAUCAUACCAAAAAAAUGCCUAACCUUUUACAUCUAGAGCAAAUAUUACAUAACCUUUCAAAAGCAUAUUAAAAAAAAAAAAAAAAAACCAAUCAUCUACCCGUGGAAGAAAGCUAACACCCGCUACAAUUGUCGUCCAUUGUCAUCGUUAUAUCACCACAAAUACCCACAUGGUUCACUGUGCUGACGUACACAGCAAACCAUAUCAACAAGCGCAAAAAACUACGUUGUUUUUCUAUUUUUAAUAACCUUUGUACCUAAUUUUUAGCAUUUUGAAAUAUAAAAAUCUAUUUGUGAUCAUGAUUAUUGUGGUUUACUGUGUAUGUUCGCGCAUUGAGCUGUGUAGACAAUGCAUGGCGAUUUAAAGUGUGAAUAAGCAGAAUUUGUAAAGGGUGUCAAUUUUGUCCACUGAAUGAAAAGUUGUAAUAUUUUCGGCCAGCAUGCAAAAAGGCUAGACUUCUUUUUACGCUCUUUUAAACUUUGUGUUAUUUUUCUCUCAGUUGCAACACUUUGUAUUUUUAUUUAUUUGGUUGUAUACUCAAUAAUACCCAUGGAGUGAGUUAUGAAUGUGUUUCAAUUAUGAUUUAUAUGUCAUUCGUUUCCUGUUUAUGUAAGUUGUAUUGUCUAUGCUUCUCACUUCGCAUGGGUUUUAUCAAAGUUGAUCCCAUUUUUAGAUAAUAUAAAUGAAAGUAACUUUAGGUAUUUUGAUUAAAUGUAGGAAUAAACUUUAAAGAUCUUAUAUCAGUUUUACUGAAAGCACUUUGAUUUUGACUUAUGAUAGUAACUUGAAUUGAACGAACCGAAAGUAUAUCCUGCAAAAAUACUGAAAUAAUUAUGUCAAACAUGCACCUUUUCAAUAGUAAAAGUUAAUUUUACCAGUUUAUUUAGAUAUAAAGUAGACAGGAUAUUCAUUUUUCUUUUGGUUAGUUUAGCUUAUUUCUGAUGUAAUAUGAAAGACAUAAUAAAUAGACAUAGUCUUUGAAUUUGUUAAUACAUGAAUUGGCUAUUGAUAUUAUGCAAGUUCGCAUAUUGAGAAUGCAAAUAGGUGCUAGUCUUUUGAGCAACAACUUGAGUCAAACCAUAUAAUGGAUUAGUAGUAGAGUCAAAAUCACAAUUAGUUACACAAAUGCCGCCAUAUUCACUCAUAUCAUACUAAUUUGAGAAAAUUUUAAAUAAGGAUAUGAAGUGGAGUUGUUUUCUCAAAAGAAGACCUGAAAUGGACGAAAUAGUGAAUUUAGUCUCAAAUAAGGACUUUGGCAUGGAUUUUACUUUGUGUUACAAAAUGCUCAAUGUGGUUGCGAUUGUGCUCUGGAUUGUUCUGGCUUGAACAAGAGAGAAUCAUAUGACUCUAGAAAAUCUAAUCCAAAGCAGUUGCGGAGACAAAUCGAAACAACAAAAUUUUCGCAUUGCCUCAUAUAAGGGUUUUGCAUCCCAUAAUGCGGUUCACUCGACUAUAAAAAGGUCACAAUUCUAUGUUGUUUACAAGAAGCUCCUAGGCACAAGGUGACUUUGCGAUACACCCUUCCACACGUUCCCUCAAGAAGCUCCCAAAACAAGCCCUUAUCAACAUCACCAUAGCCAUAGUCAAACACCCACAUCCACCCAUUCCCUCUAAGCUCUUUGACAUUCACAAAAUUGCAAUUUCCCGGAACCCCACAAAUUUAAGCUCUACACCUACUAAAGACUCCCUCUUGCAAUCCACGGCCUCGAAAAGAAGGAGAAGAGUAAGGUUAAGGUGUCUCGAGAUGGAAUUGACGUGGUCAAGUUCUCGUCUCUGUUGGUGGAGGAGUUGAGGAAGUGCCGUGAAGAGGCUGUUGAUGGUGACAGGAGGAAUUCAACGUCUUCAGUGGUGGUGACUGGUAUGAUCAUCACAACCAGAGCGAAGGAGGCUUGAGAAAGAUGAAGAAAAAUAAUGAAAAAUGGUUUUGGAUGAGAAUGCCCCCGAAGGUGGAUAGAAUUUGACUAGUUGGUGAGGUUAGAACCUUAUCUGAGACUAAAUUGGCGUCUUGAGACUUUAUUUAAGACAAAAUCCACUUCUUAGCAUCUUUUAAGAAAGCAACUCCACUUCAAGCCUCUGUAUGAAAUUUUCCCUACUAAUUCGAAUUCUAUUAUUUCAUAUCUGAAUUACUAAUUAGUUAUGGUUUAAAGUGACAUGAUCAAGUUAUUUAUUGCACGUGUGAAGGACAAAACUGAAUUGGGGUGCGUUUGGUUCGUGAAACUCAAAAUUUGAAAAAUAUUUCUCUAAAAAUGAUUGCUUAUGCAGCUUUCAAAAAUGAAUUAGUGAAAAAUAUUUUCAUCAUCCACGAAAAUAGCUAACAUUGUUGAUAAUGAAAAUGUUUUUCGUUGACUAAUUUUUCUAAACAAUUUCUAAACAAUAUAACCAAUCAUUUUUUAAAAAAUAUUUUCCAAACCUUAAGUUUUACGUGAAACAAACACACUUAAAAAUUUGGUAGUUUUUCAAUAUAGACCCCCUUUAUCAGGUAUCUAAUAAAUUUACAAGUACCUCAUCUUUGGAGAUAUAUUUGUAAUGUACAUUUGUUUAAGAAAAAUCUUAGGCAAGCUGCAAUACUUACCAAGACAGAGCAAUCUCCUACUUUCUAAUCACUAAUCACAUCAAUGCAAUGACAUGAGGGUAAUAAUAUUAACAGGUUCUCUACUCACUAGGGCAAGCAUUAAAGUAAAACCCCAACAUCACUCAGACAAGAGAACAUGGACUAAAGGAGCGAAAAAAGAGAAUCUGUUACCUUAUUUUCCUUUAGCACUUUUAGGACUUUCUUCGAUUCCCACAACCUGCUAUGGUAUUGAGGCUCUUCCCACUUCUUCUGGCGAACAAUUUCCCUACCAAGAUCUCUCAAUUGGUCAUGCAUUAUGAGCUCAUGAUUAUCUCCAACUUUUAUUAAUGACAUAGAACUCAAUUUUGCAAUUCCCUCCUCUGGAUAAAAGCCACAGGCGUCCCACAUGUAGGAUGCAAUUCUUCCAUCGGUCCCAAUUAAAAAACAAGCGACAUCCAAAAAUAUUUGUUGUUCACGAUAUUCUAAUGCAUCAUAACUUAUCUUUAACCUUUUUUUCACAUCCUCAUGAGGGACUUCUCUUAACUUUUUUAUCGUACCGCUCCAUCGUUUUGACUCUUUUUUGAACAAUAAUGAACCUAUAACCUGAAGAGACAAGGGAAGCCCCCCAGUUGUGGAUACAACUUCAUGAGCAAGGUCCUCGAAUUCACUUGGAGGAGAGCUCAUUCCAAACGCGUGUCUACAGAACAAGAUCAAAGAUUGGUUCUUAUCCAAUUCCUCAAGUUUAUGGUAGCAGUCCACCCUUGCACUUUCAAGAAUACUCCUGUCUCUUGAGGUAAUAAGGAUCCUACUUCCUGAAUAAAACCAAUUAUGAUUUCCAGCCAAAGCCUUCAACUAAUCAUAAUGGUCCACAUCAUCAAGAAGAAUGAGUACUUUCUUUUUCUUGAACUUGGAUGAGAGCAACAUAGUCCCUUCAUGUUUAUUAUGAACUUGGUUUUCUCCUCCCAAUAUAUCAAAGAUUAGCUUCUUUUGCAAGGACUCAAGGCCCUUAAGGUUACAUGAUUCCCUAAUAUCAGGAAUGAAGCUACGAGAGUCAAAUUGAUCGGAGAGCUUGUUGAAGAUAAUGUUAGCAAGAGUUGUCUUACCAAUGCCUCCCAUUCCAUAGAUGCCAAUAAAUAGGGUGACAUUAGAAUUAUUAGCUACAUCUAUCAUAACCUUCUCCACAGGAUUAUCAAUUCCAACCAAAUUCUUGGGAAUAAGCAAAUCAUAGUCUUUCUUCAGCUUGUUCGACACCGUUUGGACAAUCAAUCUCACUAAUUCUGCUUCAUUCCUGUCAAAGGCGACAAGAGUUCAAGUACGUGGCAACAACAAUUUUAUAUUGUUUAUAUAUUGAGAACAUAAUAACAAAAAUAUCUAAGAAUUGUUUUUGCUACCUCCACGUAUUAUCUUAAUGCUAACAUUAAAGUGAUUAUUGCCGGCGGUUGCUUCACAUGGCUAUUCCAUUAUUAUUCUAAGACAAUUUAUUUAGCGGGAAGAAACUUGAGGUACCGCUAAUAAAUCUUGAAUUUUUAUAUAGUAUCAAUUUGAAUCAAAUUUUAAAAUUUUUGUUUGUUUAGAAUUUUAAGGAUGACGUGGAUGUGACUUUGAAAACUUUCUAAGCAUUUGAAAUAAGCGAAAAUACAAUAAGCCAACUUGGUAUGAGAGUUCAACCAUCAAUCAAAUAGGUAAUAACUUUUGAUGCAAGAGGAAGUUAGUUCCGGUAAUACCAAGCCGGAAAGUUAUCCUAAGUGCCAUAUUGUGAACUACCUAAACACAAUUAGGGGGAUUUCACCUUAUAAUCGCAUGGGUGCAAGUUUCCUCUCAUGUCGUGAAUUUAGUGUCUUUCUAAAUUCAUUUUCUUAUCGAUCUUUAUCGUGUCGAGGGAUGAUAAAAGGUUGUACUUUACUUUCCUUUUUGAGUAUCUUUGUUCUAUGAUUAUAAUUUAUCCAAUGUUGAUUUUACUGCAAGUAGAAGAAUGACUUUUCCAGAAUAAUUUUUCCUCAAAAUAAGAACAAUGCUUCAAUUUAUGCAGGUGUAUGAGGUAAUAAUGUGUUGAAGGAAAUGCAUUGGAAAGAUAUGUAAACAAACAAAUAAUAAGGAUAAUCUAUUUUCCUUUUUAUAUGUACCAUCAUAUGAAAUAUUUCUUUCGGUAAAAAUGAUUAUAAAAGCAACUCAUUAACCACGUUAUAAUUCAAUAAAUGUAGCUUGGGAAGAUAAAGGAUUAUGGCUUUGGCUAUCGACAUGCACGGUAUAUGAUGCUAUUGCUUUGAAUGGGAAGCACCAAUAAGUCGAGAUAUUAGUCUCAAAUAAAUAUGAACUAGAAAAGUCUGUAAUGAAGACUAAUUUAACUUAUAAUUUAAACAUGAAAAAAGAAAUGGUACAGUGUUACAAGGCAUUUGGAUAUGGGUGAAAGUUCAUCUAAAAAAGCUUAUAUUAUUCAAGCGAAUGAGAUCAUUACAUUAGAAUUUAUAAUUAGGUGGGUCAUUAUCGUUAAAGUAAUUCCUAAAACUGAUAACUUAUAACACCCAUGCAUUGCAGGAUCUCAUCCCUUUUUUAAAAAACAAGAGAAACAAAAAGGAAGAAAAGAAUCUGCACCAAAAAAAGGAAGAAAAGAAAGCAGGUAGGAGUCAGAACAACAGUAAACCCCCACACAAAUUAAAAGAAAGUAAAGAAAGUGUUCGGUGAAAAAUGAAGUACCCAUCGGCUUCCCAUCCUUUCAAUUUACCGACUGCUGUGAGUGCUUGCUUAUAUUUCUCCAAAGUCACUGGGUUGAAAGGCUUCUCCCGCUUAAGAAAUGCACCUCCGAAACUUCCACUCUGAUGCCGCACGUCAGUUGGUUUCACUUUGUAGAAUAUAGGCAACACUAUAUGUCCCGUCUUAUUUUUCUUGCACUCCAUUAUUUGAAUCAGUUCAUCAAGGCACCAUUUGCUCAAACAAUAAUUCUCGGAGAGAAUGGGGAUCAAGAUCUUACUGUUCUUGAUGGCUUCCAAGAGAUCGGGGCCGAUCUCCUCGCCUUGGCGGAGCUUAUCGUCCAAGAAAACAUCAAUUCCGGCGUCGAGUAGCCCGCGGUAGAGGUGACUGGUGAAACCUUUUCGAGUAUCUUCACCUCUAAAGUUUAAGAACACCUCGUAAUGGUCCUCAGUCGGCGCGGUCGACGAACUAGAUGCGCCGGAAUCGGUUUCCACCGGAGAGGCCGACGAUCCCGCCGUCCCGGCAUCAGCAUCUUCUGCAUUUCUUCGCGCACUGGCUCUUUUCCUGUUGAGAAAAUUGAAAGCGAGCCCGGAAAGGAGGGUCAAUGCCGCGAGCACGGCGAAAGAGUGCCCAAAAAUGGGAGGAUGCAUUUCUUCUUUGCUCUGGAUUCUGCCCUCUGUUUUAUCUUCUCCGAGUCCGACGGCGAAGAAAACCAGAAUGCCUCUCAAGGAAAUACAGAAGAAGGGUUUAUGGUUCAGACACGCUCUUCCGCAAUGUUCUAUCAUUUUAUCAGCACUUCGCCCUUGCCAUCGUAGCCACAGCGAGGAGAGUCAGAUGUGGGGCCCCUUCGGUGUCGGUCCCUUUUCCCCCCUUUCACGAGAAAAUAUUGGGUGGUCCCGAACCACCCAAUAUUUUCUCGUGAAAGGGGAGAGAGGCGCGUGAGUGGUCCGGGACCACGCUGACGUGGCGGUCCCGGACCACCCAAUAUUUUCUCCUCCCCCUUCACGGUGUUCUGAAAUGUGGGACCACUUGGCGCCUCUCUCAUUUUUUUUGUUUAGGGCCCCUUCGACACCAUUCUCACCGUCAAGUCAACGAUCCAAGUUAACGUACUUUUGAGAAAUUUUCAUUAAAUUUUACCAUUAAAUAAUUACGUCAAAUAACACGUAACAAUUAAUAAAUAUAUCAAUUUAACAUUUUGCCAUCCGUUUAUUAUAAAUAUAUCAAUUUGUGAUUUUUUUUCUAAUAUUAAUCCAAUUUAAUCGAAAUUAACGGAUGAUAAAUUUGUCGUAAAUAUAUCUAUUUAGAUUUUAAAAUUUGAAUUAAAUUUUUCAUAAAUAUAUUAAUUUUAAAUUUUUAUAAAUAAAAAUUAAUUUAAAGUAAAUUUAUCUAAUUUGUGAUUUUCAUGAUGUUAACUCUUUACCAUUUUAUUUUAGCCCUUGCCUUUUCCAUUGGCCACAUCCUUUCAUUCCCUCGAUCUUGUGCAUUUCUUCCUCUUCUUCCUCUUCAUCUCCGUCUCACUUCUCCGAGUGCUCUCGCUCUCUCUCUACGCCGUUCCUCAACUGAUGUGGUUAAAGCUCUCAUUGAAUUCGUUCUUUUUUUCGACCAAAAAAGAAUUCGUUCCUUGCAGAACCGUACUCUUCUUCACUUAUCUUGAUUACGUUGGGAAAUAGAAAUGGUGAAUGUCGCCGUGCAUAUUUCUUCGCCUUUUCCUUCCUUGGGUUGAGCUUGCCUGAUUUCUCCACCCUGCGUGGGUCUCCUAUGGUCAAAUCAGAAACGCUGGGAAAAUAGUUUAAAUGGUGCUAGGGAGCAGGUCUUGUGGAAGUUAUGUUUAUCAAGAGAUCACGUCGGAUCGUGUCAAGCAUUCGAAGGAUGGAUACCAUUCAUAUACCAAAUGCCGGUGUGCUGCACACGUGCGAUCAUUACUUAAAUGUCUUUCAACAUUGGUACACCCAUUCAACUAUUCAUAAGAUUGGAGUACUUGGUCGAUCGCGUGGUUGCCCCUCUAGUGAUGUGAGUCGUAACAUGAAGGAAGAGAUGCAGCCUUUCCAAUUUAUUUUUCAGGAUGAAGAAUCCACCAAAGCAAGGAGGAAAAUCUCUCUGAUCAAUCCAUCCCACCUUUGAACAACUAGUAGCUCCGAUCAAUGAUGAGACAGAACCGCGUCGUAGAAGGUCAUGUCAGAAAGCGAAAGGAAAAAAGAAGAAACAAACGAGAAAAGAGGGACACCGAAAGGUAAGUGAUUUAUUGUUGAGGAUGGAAAAAUCCUCUAAAGCAAGGGGGAAAAUUUCACUGAUCAAUCCAUCCUAUGUUUAGACAGUUAAUAGCUCUAAUCAAUGAUGAGACAGAAUGCGUCGUGAAAGGUCAUGUUGGAAAGCAAAAAAAAAAAAAAAAAAAAAAAAGAAACAAACGAGAAAAGAUGAACACUGAAAGGUAAGUGAUUUAUUCUUUAGGACGAAGAAUCCUCUAAAGCAAGGGGGAAAAUUUCACUGAUCAAUCCAUCCUAUGUUUAGACAGUUAAUAGCUCUAAUCAAUGAUGAGACAGAACCGUGUCGUGGAAGGUCAUGUCGGAAAGCAAAAGGAAAAAAGAAGACACAAACGAGAAAAGAGCGAUGCCAAAAGGUAAGUGAUUUAUUCUUUAGGAUGAAGAAUCCCCUAAAGUGAGGGUUAAAAUUUCACUAAUCAAUCCAUCCUACCUUAGACAGCUAAUAGCUCAAAUAUGAGACAGAACAAUGUCAUGGAAGGUAGAAGAAACAAAUGAGAGAAGAGGGACACUAAAAAGUAUAGAGGUGAUCGGUUUCGAUCAAUAUGGUUCCACUUAGGAAUCGAUGACCAAAUUAGGAGAAUCGAUUCCCAAGUUUUGGGGCUAGGAACCAAAUGAGACUGAUGUAGGACUAAGAACUAGAUCGAACCGACUUGGUCCCAUGAAAUCAAUUACUUAGCAAAACAAAAAAAUUAAAAAAAAAUGAAGAAAAAUACAAGAAUUAUUACUCUUUUUAAGUUUUAUUGCUAUUUAAAAAAUAUAUUAUUUUUUUAAAAAGGUUGGUCCAAUCGGUCUGAUUUGGUUCGAUGCCUCUUCAGAAUCAGGAAUUGGACCAAUAAUCACUGGUUCCAUUUUUACGAAAUCGAGAACCAAACCGAUCCCUCUAGGAAUCGGACCAAACCAACCAACCCGGGUGAUUCCUGAUUUUGACGGUCUGGCAUGCUAUAUUAGGAUAGAUAUUUCUAAAACUGAUCAAUUUAUGAAAAAUAUUUUUUUUAUGAAUUAAAAACAAUGUGAUUAAAUCAAUGGAAAAUGACUUCCUCUUUUGCCAAGAUGAAAAUCAUUUUUUUUCUAAAUAACCAGAAAAAAAAAACUUAAAUUUUCUCAAAUAAUUAUUUUUAUAAAAAAUAUUUUCUAAUCAUAAAAUAUUUACUAAAACAAACGGAGCACUGACUUGGAGACAAAAAUACUCCCUCCAACAAGUCAAUGCUCGGAAUUAUCUUCGCUUUUAUUUAAUUUAUUAUCCUGGUAGACUUAUUUAACUCCACAAAAACUCCCAAUUCCUUCCUCGCUCCAAACCCUUGAGUUUCCCCCAUCGUCGCUGCUCCACUCACACGCCUCCAUAGCCCUAACCCCAAGCCAUCGGUCAUUCUCCGCGGCCCCAACCUUCUCAAGUCCUAAACGGGGUAUACUCGGGGUUUUCUAUCUAAUCGAAUUGCUACCAAUCAAUUAUAUAUAUAUAUAAACAAAGAAGGGAAAAAAAGCUAGGUUGAUUGGAAACGUAGAUGUAAGUGUUGCGAAAGUGUUGGUCAUUUGCAACUCACGGUUUGGCGUUUCGAUUACGUGUAAUAAGAAGUUAUUUUCCACAUGAUACCCUUUUGGCACCUUAACUUUCAAUUAAGUCAUUCGAAUGAAAAUAUCAUUAAUUUCCUAAAUUUAUUGAAAAGAUUUUGAUUUUUUAUCGUAGAUGUAAUAAGGGAACUUCCUUUAUUAUUUAUGCCCUAGUAUGACUUCGUAUGCCAUAUGUGUUUGCUUUAUCAAAAUAUGGAUGGAUCUUAAUCUGUAAGGUGUGUUUGCAUGUGCAAUUGGGUAAUGACGUAUAAUUAAAUGAUACAUGCUUAGUUUUGAAAUUGACGGAGAGUGUUAUUGUUUGACCUACCUUUUUUUUCUUUUUUUGAACAGAUAUUGUUUGACCUACUUGGAUUGCGGUAUAUUCGUCCUUUUGGCCUUAUAUGAUGAUGAUUCUGAAAGCUGAAAAUAUCUUUGAGAAAUUAAUUAUAGUUAUUUUCAAAGUUUUUUGGGAAAAUCAUGGAAUCCGUGGGGUCUCGAAUCAUGAUCCGAGGGAACCUUUAGCUCCAUCGCUUUUAGGGUAAGGCCACCCUAAGACUGCCACGUGGUAGUCUCAUUUGGCCGUUUCUUAAGCUGCCACUGCCCUUUUUCUUUCUAAAAAAAUAUAUUUAGUAUUAAUUAUUUUUUUCCCAUAUUUGAUAAAAUUUUGACUGGAUCUAACUUUUCUGGUGUGAUGUCGAUUGACAAAAUUUUUACUCCCACAAAAAGUUUCCUACCCCAAAUUUCUGAAAAUGUCAUUUGAUCCUUGAAAAUAUGUCAAGAUCACAAAUAUCCAUGAAUUUGACUGAACAAAGAUGGUGAUGAGAAAUUAUGAUUUUUUCUCCAUUACAAAUCUGAUCACUGUGAUUUUUGCAGCAUUGGGAAUUUUAUAACUUGGACCGUCUAGUAGAUUUAAUUGAUUGUGGCAAAUCAAAAAAAUACUUGACACUUCAAGAUAUGAUUGUAAGUAAAAGAGGUAAUAUAUUUUGCAGUGUCGCAAAGUUUUGAUUUAGAUAAAUUCGGUAUUGUUGUGGAACUAUUACCCCAUUGUUCAUUUUGGUCUUUGGUCGAACUUUUGAUGAAGUAAUAAUUUCGGUCAGUCUUGGUCAAACUUUAGGUCAAAAUUUCGGUAUUUAUGAUGAUAAUUAAUCUGAACCUGUUGAUAUUUGAUAAAGAAGGACAACAUAAACAAAGUGCAUCGCGCGGGAACUAAGGAGCCAAAAACAGGAUGGUUAUCCAUCUUUCAGUCGCUUUUGCCUCUUCAGAAAUGUGAAUGUCCCCUGGAAAUGUGCAAGAUAAUUAUUAAGAAUGAUUCCAAACAGGAAGGUCUCCUGCUUAAGUGUCACCUGGGGGUUUACAGCGCGGCUGUCGGCUGUAAACCGGUUCCUCCGGCACCAAAAAAAAAAAAAAAAAUGAUUCCAAACAGGCGGCCAGCGCAUGAUAGAACCCACCCCGGAAAAAAGUGAGCAAACGCGGACCAUCCACUUUUCACUUUGUCCCACGGAAAGUUUGACUUUUUUCGUGACCCAAAAUCGUGGAUGUUUCGGAUUCCAGAUGUGACCAUGAAAUUGCUCAUAGACCAGCAGACAUCAUGUACAUUUCAUAUGUCCAGGUGAGACGAGUGAGGGAGUGACCCAGCCAGAUGCUGCUGUCUCUAGAUCAGCCCAGAAGACGUUCAAAAAAGAGGAUCUGGAAUUCACAAUUGAUUGAUUGUAUUGGAAAAGGGGAGAAUUCACCCAAGCUCGCGAUGCUUGCGGGAUUAGCUUUCUAUUUGUUGCAGAUAUGAAAACCAUGAAGUCCAUUUAACUAUUCAUACUAGCCCCGAACAUAUCAUCUCGGCAACCUAAUACAGCACGUAAUAACACAACGACCAAUUUAUCCAUUCACCAUUUGGGACAUCCGAUCAAAAUGAAACAAGCACAUUCGAGGUCGAUUUGUGACUUUGUAGUCCAAAACAAAAGCAAAUAAAAUAAAAGAGAUGAAACUACUAAAAAGAUUACUAGUAACAAAAAAUCGAUCAUGAAUUCUGCCGAGACAAGAGUCUGUUUCAACUAUGGAAAUGUCAAGAGAAGCCCAAUUAGCACGAAUAUUCAGUCUCUUAUACAUUAUAAACCAGAUGUUUCUCAUUCUUUGCUAUAAGAAUUGGAAUUUUAAUGCGGAUGAAUAAGGGAGUUCUGCUAAUGUAGCCUCCCCCCUUACCAAAUAUGAACAAGAAAUUUUCAACUCUAAAUAAGUUCUGAGUCGUAUCAAGACUUCCCCCCGCAUCCUCUGCAUUAUCAUCUUUAACCAUCAGAGGAGGCACGAUGGUUCUCGAUUACUUAGGCGAAUUUGGAUAAUAUAUUUCGGUCUCAUGGUGCAUGCAGAACACGCAGAAUUGAUUUACUUCAAUUGGACAGAGUUAGAAAACAUUCCUUUUUUUGGUUUCNNNNNNNNNNNNNNNNNNNNNNNNNNNNNNNNNNNNNNNNNNNNNNNNNNNNNNNNNNNNNNNNNNNNNNNNNNNNNNNNNNNNNNNNNNNNNNNNNNNNCCCCCCCCCCCCCCCCCCCCCCCGGCCAAAAAAAAAAUACUAUUGUCCGAAGACAAUGCCAAGAUGAGCAUCAAAGUGACAAGAUGAGCUCUUCACAGGCAAACAUCAGCUCAUUCUCGUACCUCUUCAGCACAAACCUCUCUUCAGAUGCUAUAAUGGUGGUGACAACACAUUUCUUGUCUGAAAAUGGCUUCCUACCUGUCCUUCCAGCUCGAUGAAGGUAAUCUACGGCACUCCUCGGAAGAUCAAAGUUGUAAAUAUGAGUUGUUUCCGGCAGGUCAAUACCUCCGUCUGCAAUCAGUUGCUAGAAUAAGACAGCCCUCUUUUUGUCUCACUUCCUGUGGUCCAAAUAUGGAGGAUUAAAUAUGAAGUCGGACUAUACAUAUUUUCACCAAUGGACUGCUUAAGAUGUGCUUAGUAUACCCAUAUUUAGCAUGACGAGGAGUAUAUGCCUAUUUUAACUUGAGAAGGUCUACUUUAGGCAUUAAUAAAGGUUAUGAAGAAAGAAAGAAACGGUUUUCCUAAAGAAAACACAGUUGUAGCCAGAUAAUUUUCUUAAGUGGUAUGAUCUCUUUGAUCCUGAUUAGUGCUACCAAAUAAUAAUGGUCUGUUAAGGUUUUGCAGCAUCCUUCCUCCUAUCUAAAAAAAUCCAGCAUCUCGGAUCCACAGAGAGUAAGGGUAAAAUCCAUCUCGUUCCAAAUAUAUUAUAGGACAAACACAGUUGAAGGGCAUAUCUUUAAUAUGCCAAAUUUCUCAACCCUGAGCAUUCUCAAAGUGAGGGAAGAAACAUCAUGAUGGAAAAAGUGAAAAGCACUUACCGAGAGCGAAGCUGCUCGUGCAUUGAAAUUCAUGUCUUCUUCUAGAAGGAGAAUAUUAGAGCAGCUUCCAUAAGAAUUCUUCAAGAAUUCAAGUAGAAGAGUUGUUGGUCGUACAUUUCCAGCCUUUUUUGACUUCUCAGACUAAACGCACAAAAGAUAGAAUUGGUUAGUGGACCCGCAGACAGUUGUUUAGAAAGGUGUAUUCACGUGAUAUAUGUGUGCUCAUGAAUGCUACAAGCUUCUGUAGAAUAUAUAAAUAAAAGCUGCAUUCACUUUAAUACAUUCCAAAACCCUCUCUGUGCAGGAAAACUUUCAGGACGUUGUAAAAAAUUCUCCAUAUUUUGGAAACCAAUUUUCAUUCAGAAACAGAGAGAAAUGUCAUCAGAGCAUAAACUUCUUUCACUCGUGUAAAGAACUGCAUAUAUGUUUUAUUUGAUGCCCCUGCAUAUGGACAGAUGACCUUACUGAUAAAUGCAUGAAACUCUCUUCAGUCCAUUUAUUGUAUCAAACUGAUAGCCCAUUAGACAUUUUUAGCUAAGACCACUAAUCACUGCCACAUGAAUUGGGGACAGAGCCUCUGCCAUAUCAUACAUCAGUUGAUAUGUUUCGACAUCAUUUUUCAUUAUCCAGAUAAAAAUCUAUUUCUUCCUCUCAUUCUUAUAACAAGUACAGCACCAAAAAAUGUGAAUAAACUACGGAAAAGAGAUGCAGGAUGAGCAUCAGGCAGUAUACCUGCUCGCCAACAAAUAUAAUGCCAGAUUCGGGGUUGUCCCACUGUAAUAAAUGUAGCGAGGUCCGAUGUCUCCAACUCCUAUGACAUGUCUGAAACAGAUGGAAGCGUUAAGCAAGUCAAAAGCCAAGGAUCAUCAAUUGAGUACAUGGACUAUGAAGAUGAACAUUAAAUGAGCAUAUACAUAACUUCUACGAAAGAGUCUGUAGAUCAAAUCUCGCAUUCAAUGUCCUCACCACAAACCUAUGAUCUAGACAUGAUGGCAUAGGCUGUAUUGGAUUGACGUGAACGUGAACCACCUCACCCUGUAAUAGGCAAAGUCAUAUUAAGAUAAAAUCAGUGAGUGCAUGAGUAAACCCCAACAGAACAUUCACAAGAAUUAUAGCUUCAUGAAACCAACCUUAGUCCACUUCUGUUGUAUACAAUCAUGUAAAAAUCGCUUAUGCUGAGGUAUGGAUGCACUAGCAAAAACAGUUCGACGGUUGUUGCAUGUGAGUAUGAUGUCAACAGCUUCCGAAGAGAGUUGACUUGCUUAGAAGAGUUGAACGUGAAGUCUACCUAGGCAGCAUCAAAGUAAGAAUGUCAGUUCUUCAACCUACAAUAUCCAGGAAGAAUUCUGUCUGUAUAAAACAAGAUACCGAGGCCCCAGUGGGAUAAUUGCACAAUUUUAAUCAUACUAACAUGGUGAUUACAAAGUACCCAAUGAAAUAUACUCUCAACAAAAUAGACCAAUCGAGGCACUACAUGCUAACUGAAUAUCCUUUCUUAAAAAGGACCCUGCACCAGUCACUCUAAUCCCUAUACGCAUAUAAGAGGCAAUAAACGCCCACCUUAAAAAUACUCUUAAUUCUAAAACCAUUAAAAAAAAUUGGCCCCACUAGUGAAUGCCUGGGGAUUUUUCUGGAGGAGAAAGUGAUCUAGCAUCUUAACAAGAAUAUGGGGUUAAUGAAUCAGCUUUAAGAUGCCAAGCGGGUGUUGCUCUGAAAAGAAGAACUCAAAUUAUUCCUAAUUAUUUACCUCAUCAAUCACUAGAAUCUGCACUGUGUCGAGUUCAAAAAACUUGCUUCUCCAGCAUCUGGCACGAGCUCCUGAUGGUUGCCACUACUAUUGCUGGGGGUUCUGCCUAAAAAUGUUACAAGGAAAAGCCAAGGAGGUCAUAUUGAAGGUUGACGCAUGAAAUCCAUCAACAGGGUGCUUUAAUUUUAGAGAAGCAUCCCAAAGACAUAGCUACAUUAGGCAAUUGAUAUUUGUUGGCACUUGAAUGGACAAGUGUGGGGUUUGGGUGGGCAUAUAAUUGCCAGCUUGUGUUAUCAUGCUUCUGGUCAGACAGGUCCUCUGUUCUCAGGUUUAAAAACAUCAGCAAGAAAAUUUUAGGUUUUUCCUCUUCUUAGUACAUCCAUAUCUAAGAUUCAUGAUCUCAAAAGCAGGAAAUUCCACUAAAACUAAAAUUCUAGUUACAGGGGUACUUGUAAGAGCGUGGACAGAAUAACAACAUAGAGGAGCAAGACAACCACAAAUAUUCAGUCAAGAAAAGGUAGACAACUAAACAGACACGUAAGCAUCGACAAAGAGACAAACUUAUUUUGCCCAAAAAUGGAAGAAUUAAUAGAAGCUGUAUUUAACUGAGUAAACUAAUGCGUGGAAGAACAGUUUUGCAUGAGUUGCAGGAAAAAAAAAUUUUGCAUAAUUAAACGUACACAAGCAAAUGGAUAUCGGCAUAUGAUAUAUAGUCAAGAAAAGGAAAAAAGCACAUAAUACAAAAACCUUCUAUUUUACAGAGCGAUCACAAAAAUGUCAUUGAAGUAUAUAGGAAGAUAGCUCUGCUAAUGAUGUUUAGGUCACCCAGGAGAGGGAAGAAAAGUAGUACCAGCUAAGCAUUUCAAUAUUGAUUCUCCAUAACUUCUCCUACAUAAGGAGAAUACCAGUCAUUUCCUCAGAUCAAUAAGUAAACUAAUUAUACAAGGGGUUUUGAGAAUUAAUGUUUCUAUUUAUAAGUUGUAAUGACAGUUAUUUGUAGUUUAUAAGCGCUAGCUUAACUGUAAUUUUAUGCUCAGAAAGCACACCACACACAUGCGCACACAGAGAGAGAGAGAGAGAGAGAGAGAGAACCUUUGACCAACUCCUGUGUCUUUUCAAUGUACCUUCAUCUAGAAGAGCCAUAACAGUACAUGAUUUAUCUUGCUCCAUUUCAAGAUUCAUUGGCUUUGCAGCCAACAGCUGAGCAACUUUGGCUACCUUGUCAUAAAUGGAUAACAAUAAGAAGAAGACAUGACAUUGUGCUCUUAAUGUAGCAUGACACCAUUUUGUGCAGAUGUAACAACCACUUUCUGAGUUACAAUAGUGAAAGAGAAUCAGAAGACAAAAGGGAAAAUAUCAAAUGAAAUAUCAUAAUCAGAAAUUUACCAGAAUGCCAAGUUCUCGGGUGGGGACAACUAUUAACGCUUGUACAGAAGACCGUUGGCUGUUCAUAACUGAAAAUAUCCUCAGAAGGUACGUCGGCGUCUUCCCAGAACCUGUCUAGAGGGCCAAAAGCAUGAGUGCACCGGCCAUGUCAAUGCAGGAUCCUUUUACGUUUUCUUCCCUAGUUGAGUUUAUAUGCAGAGUCAAAAAGUAAUUCCAAUUGAGUUGGAAGUCUGAACAUUAACAGGAUAGAUCAUAUCACAUCAGACACAUAUUAGAUCACUCUUUUCGCAAACAUCUCCUCAAAACUCAAUAAACACAACUGUGAAUUGACCAAUAUAGUGGGAUACUUCAUGACUGCCUAGUACAGAGCAAUCUUUAGCCCUUUUGAAAAGUUGCAAGGUAGUUCUUCCAUUGGCGUUUUCUACCAAAUUGCCUACGUGAGAAACUUUCCAGGAAACCGGGAAACUGACGUGAUAGAUUAAUUAGAUAUCAAACCGCACAUUCAUUUAAUAGCUUUAGAAUAGUUGGCAGGGGUCCACAAAAUUUCCAUGGUAUCAGCUAGUGAUCUCACAAAAUCUCACAUGAUGAUGGUGCAAUCUUUUAAAAUUUUAAUAAAGGAUUUAAGACUGCACUAUACAAAUUAAAAGGCUCCCGCAUCAGACUUAAUUGCAUUCACUGCCACUUCCAAUGUUCUUUUCUCGUUUUGUUCUUAACAGGAAACGGAAAUCAAUGGUAAUAAGAGAUCAACCCGAGCACGAAGCACGCAAUCCCUUCCAGAGAAAAGGGCAGGCAAUGCUUCCCUCUGAACGUCAGUCGCUAAUACGUACCCAACUUCCUCCAUCCUGCAAAACCGCCCAAACAUAAAUUCUCCAUAUAGCUCCGAAAACCCAACGUCGGCAAAACAACAUCUGUCACUUCUCGCUCUAAAGUAACAAUCUUUGAACUUGGAAUUCGCACUUGCCUGCGCAGGACAUGCUCGGGCACGUGGCCGCUACAAAUUCUUCUCAGCGUGGGAGGGGCUGGCUCUGGGUCGGCUUCGUCCGCCGCGGGGAGAAGCUGACAAGGGCUCGCGGCGGCUCGUGACAGGACGUGGAGAGAGGAUAUUGAAUUGCGCGAGCGGCGACGACGGUCGAGAACUUGGGUUCGAGUUUGCGGAGAAGGAAGAGGGACGAAGGAGAGACAAGCUUUGUCGCGGAAGAAACGGCAGGACAGUGAAAGGAGACCGGAGUGGGAGGAGGAGAAGAAGAAGAAGAAGAACAAGAAGCCAUUGACGAGCAAGAAGCUCGCUCCUCGGACGAGAGCUGCGAGCUGCGACAGAGAAAGGAGACCACGUGUUGAACGAAUUAGGCUUCAAUGUUAUUUUUUGCAAAAUUGAUGGUAAUUUAUUUGAUUUAUGAAUUGAGACUUUUCACUAUUUUUUUCUUUUACUUCGGCUGGUUACAAGCUGAUUCACACGGGAAUUGGUUUGAUUCCGAGUAAAGAAUUUGAUAACCGACUUUGAUCGAUUCAGUUCUCAAUUAUUGGAAGAAUGGGUUUUGAAUUGACUUUAACAGCUGAUUCUCUAGUUAAACCGAUUCAAAUCAAAAUUCUAAAAGUUUCUUAAUUGAGAACUUUUACAUUGCCUCGAAUUAAUGACAUUAAGCAUUCUAGCACAUAGAUGUCAGCACAGUAUUUUAAAAAAUUUAAAAAAAAAAAAAAAAAAAAGGCCGAUGCCAGGAAUUCAGUUCAUUUCACAAUUCCAGUAACUAGAAACCGGUUUUAAUAAAGAUAGGUUCAAAGUUCAUGAUUUAAAACUCAACUACCCUAGGAACAAUCACCCUUUUCCACACCUGUACACAUUUUCUCCCCCAUGUAAUUCAGGAGGUCCAUGUUAGGAAUUUGAUCGGAUUAUAUUGUUCAUCUUUAGUUGAUUUCAACCUCUUAGCUAAAAAUACUCCUCACUUUUUUUUUAAUUUUUUAUUUAUUUAUCGCAAGACAGAUCUUUGAAAAUUGAAGUGGCUUUCUUGAGAACCUGCCCAAGUUUCCUGCCGUUCAUAGUAACUAAUCAGGUUGCUAAUGGGAAAAACAUUCAUAUAAUUCACCGUUCAACAGCCUACAUCGGAAUAAAGCAGCAGGAAACAGCUUCCGAUUUCUCUUGCUUGAGGUCCCAUUCCCCUAAGUGAAACUCCAAAUACGGACCAAAGAAGAAGAACCAAUGAAGUUGUUUCUCAAUGGAGUUGUACUUCCAUGAAACCGUGCUAAAGAAUGGUAGGUAGAGUUCACUCCAACAGUCCGCCUGAAAAAAUAUACAGUUCAUCAAAAGGUAAAACUGAACGGCUCUAGCUCUUUCCCGGAAUCAAGAUGUAAGAUAUACGCAAAAUCAGGCCGACCAAGCUACCUCUACCGACAUCUUCUAUUUGCACAGUCCGAUUAGGUUGUCUGCCUUCCAAGUUGAUGAUAGCACGGUGGCCCAAGGGUUUGGAUGGGGAGGGAUCAGAGCUCCGGCGUCAUAUCCCGCCACUGGGUUUCAACUAGGUCUGUUAGAAAGGUUUCAGCAUUGAGAUGGUGAAACAAGGCUCCACCGGCCAUGUCCAUGUCCACAACCCCAUCAACUCCCUUAAAUGCAACACGCAAUUUCAUCAAACUCGACACUUUCUUAUCAUCCUUGCGCGACAUGCCGGUCACAUGGAUAACAUCUCUUGGAACUUUACCCAUUAAAUCAAAUAAUGGCAGAUCUAGGUUUGACCGAGUCAUCUCUUCCAGCACCGGAGGUGCCUGCAUGUAUAGAUUCUUCCCCCUAUGCGUGACGCUUGCUCUUGAUAGAAGCAGCCUUGGGUGCUCUUCGAGCAUAUUGAUGAACUGAUGACAUACAAGAUGAAAAGAGAUGACGAGUAAUCAGAUAACUGCAAGAACUACCCAAGUGCUUAGAAACAUGUGAAGAAGGUUACAGAGAGAGCUAUACAGGAUAAAAACCUCUAGCUAGCAUUCCCAUUAAUUUGUAGCGAGUAAUAAACAGAGCUUAAGAACAAGAAAGCACCUUUUGUAGGGUCACUGAAAUGUCCAACUCAAUAAGAACACCAGGACCACAGACAAGGCAAUCCUUAUCCCUCACGAACUCAGUAACUUUAAUGUGAAGUCCUUCCACACCGUUGUAUCUGAAAUUCAAAAAUAUUAAAUAAACUCGCAGCUCAAAGUUUGCCCACUUUAAAGAACAAAAUUGGGAUUACUGGGCAUUUGCAAGCUAGCAACUAGACAAAGCGUGUAGAACUUGCAAGUUUUCGCUCAUAGAGGAUGGAUACAUACAGACAGCACAUUAGUAAAUUCAUCUACUGAAGCACUGAUCUUCAGAUGUACUGAUCAGUAACAAAAGCAGGAUAUGACACAGGCCGGGAGAGACAAAAGUAAAACUAAGAGAUCUCCAAGAAAUAAAUAAAUAAAUAAAUAAAUAAUAUAUAUAUAUAUAUAUAUAUAUAUAUUAGCAUAUUCAUACAUGUCUAAGAAAUAGCAAGUAAACAAUUCGGCAUCACAAGUUUACGACCGAGAUGCACUCCAUUUAACCUCAAGUUUAGAGACUCCAGCACUGAGAACCUUUAAUUGAGUUGCAACAUGUCACCUGAUAAUUUACGGAAAGCUUGGAACAUAAGCUAUGGAGGUCACACUAAGAGGCUUGAGAGCCAAUGAGAAAAGAAACACAAAAUAUAACAGAAUCCAAAUAUUAGCACCCAAAUGUUGCACCCACAGCCAAACGCUCUGACAGAAGGCUGUUUCUAAAAUUACUCGAAACCUACCCCCAAGCCAGCAAGUUAUUUUAAGAACCCAAGAAAGCUAGCAAGAGUACAUUUUUCUAGACAUCUGUCCAAGAAGCGACGGACACGGAUGUUAGAAAACACAAAAGAGAGAUUCAACAUAAGAUCAGGAACAGCUGACAAAAGAUAUUUAACCAAGAACACCUUAUACUCAAUCAAGAAAGCGUGACUGUAAAGAACUAGCAGAGCAAUGUAAAAUGAUUCCAGAGAGACCAUAACCAGAGGGUAUUUUGAAGAAUCAAUUGUGAUGAAGAAUAGAAAGAUUGUUAGUGCAGCAACAACAAAUAGAUUAUGCAGGCUGCCCGCUUCAACAGUCACCGUUUAGGCAUGUCAAACUAUAACAUGUGUCUCAUCUCCAUAAACUAAAAGGCCAUAUUCAAAGAUAUGCCCAAGUGUCACACUAGAUAGUAAGAGAAGAAUACAGGAAGCAAAUUGGUUAGCCCUACUUGGUAUAUUCUCGAAGAAUAAAAACACUUUCAGGAAUCUAAAACAGCCCAAGAUGAAAUACAAGAAAGCCUUUCAGUCACUUCUAGUAUAUAAUAUUAAAGGAACCCUACAAAGUUCUGCAGGAUGAAUUUUGCCUUAUACUUGAAACAAGAACAAGAUGCUAUCCACAUCCAAGAUAUACAGGAAACAAAAAAGAAUUUUACACAAUGAAGCACAUGAGAACUGUAAAAGGCAAGGUACGACGCACGUUAAGUAGUUGGAUAAAGUUUUGCUGCAUCCAGUUGCAAUCUUCAAGGUUUCCAGAGCACAAGCAACUGAUAUGAUUGCAUUAGUUGAAGCUAUAGCUUGUAUGAUAUUUUUCACAACACCCUGGAUAGAAACAAUAAAAAUGAGCUUAUCUUGAAGUACUAAUCUUAUAAUUAAUCACAUGAUAAAACGAAGCAAAAUGAGUUUACUCGUAAUUGUAAAAGUUGACAUAAAAAAUAGGACGACAAAUCAAGUAGGGUUUACAGCAUGACCUGAGGAAUUUAAUAUUCUCUACCAUUUGCCAAAUAAUCAAAGCGUAGAGAACAACUCCAGUAUUAGGAUGAAGCACAAAAUCAUGAAUCUAACUCACAAUACUUAGAAGUUUGUUGUCCCUACUUAUAAGAAAAAUGCUUCCUUAAGAUUUUUAACAUAAUGACAACAGCAAAGCAGAUUGUAAAGCUCAGUCAUAUGCAAAAAAGGAAAAUCUCUAGGCCGUUAACAACAAUAGGAGAACUAAUGCACCUGAGUGAGGGAAUAAGUCACUCCUGGAAUUCUGAAUAGCUCUGCUGUUUUGACAGCCUGCAGAUCAAGUUUUUAAAAAAUGAAUAGUCCAAAAAGAAAAUUAAUGUCUGGACAAAUCACCAAACAAUUUGAUUGCAACUGUAGUAACCUCGGAAUAAACCCACUACAUAUGUUCUGGAUCAUCAGGAUCAAAUGACUUUCCACUAUGGACCUACAGGUGAAAAUCCAACACAAUGACAAAAUAAGAUACAGUACUUAAAUAUAACAGAUCACAUGAUGAACGAAUUGGACAGCUUACAAAGUUAGCUCAUCACCUCAUCCCAUUUUAUUAGAUGUGCAUAUUCAAUACAAUGAGCAGCAGUUCUCGGGGUUUCUGCGAGAGUACAGAGAGGAAAUUUCACUUGUGGAGGGAAAAGCCAGAUGGUACACUCGAAGCAUGGGGUGACCCCUGGUUUUAUAACUCUUGCAUGCCCCUUAAAACCUUCCGUCCCACCAUCCACCAUGGGUUUCAUCGUUUCUUCCCUUGGAUUGUCAUCAGAAUCGUAUUCUGUAAUGUCAUUCGACAACAGUGAAGCUCAGUCAGAUGGUGAGCUAGGUUGGCAAAAGCUCCUACUUCCAGUACUCAUCAGAAAGCAUUAAUUGCCUAAACUAGCUAUUAGUCAGAAUGCAGCCACUAUUAGAUGUUUAAAGAUCAUUAAGGACCAUAUGCAGUAAAUUGAAAUUAAAGCUGGAAUUUUGAGCCAAAGAAGAAGCUUAAAUUGACAAGAACAACCAAUAUGAAUAUACUUACAACCAAUAUGUUUCCCUGGAUGCUUGGAAGAGCUAACAAAUAAUUGGAAGGUUGGAAUGAAUCUUUAAUUUCUAAAGCGGGGAAGGAGAUAUUACUAAAAACAGUAGUGCAGGCUCUUCCUCAAUAUGAAAUGUCAAUUUUUCAGAUUCCUGAUUCCAUAUGUAGAGCGAUUGAAGAGAGAAUGGUAGCAUUUUGGUGGAAAAGCAGAGAAUCUCACUCUGGUAUUCAUUGGAAGAGUUUUGAUUUCUUGAAGCAAAGGAAAGAUAAUGGAGGCAUGGGAUUAGAAGAUUUACUUUCUCUUAACGAGGCUUUCUUAGGUAAGCAAGGCUGGAGAUUGAUGCACCCUCUUUAUGGGGUCAAAUUUUUAAAGGGAUUUACUUCCCAAAAAGGAGCUUUUGGCAUGCAAGGGAAGGGCAUAGACCCUCUUGGGGCUGGCAAGGCUUACUAGAGGGAAGAGACUCAAUCUCAGAAUCUUCAAUGUGGAUAGUGAACAGGAGAAGCAAUCAGUAUCAAAGAGGACAGAUGGUUGAAAAGAGGAGUAAUUGGAGGGCCAGCAAAUGAAAAUGACCCACAAUAGGCAGAGGAGCUUAUAAACCACGAAGAAAGUUUCUGGAAUGAACCUCUUCUUCGAAAAGUUUUCAAAGAGGACACUGGAAAGGAAAUUCUGACUAUUCCUCUCAGAUAUCACUCUACUCAAGACAAACUGGUGUGGAAUAGCAAAUUACAUAGUAAAGAGUGGCUAUAACUACAUAAAACUUACCGAGGACAUUCGUAAAGCUUCAAUGGCCUCCUCAUCUUUCUCAGCUCCUCGACCUAUAUAGAAUAAGAUCAGGAAAAUGCAAACAACCCCUAAAAUUAAGUUCUUCCUUUGGAAUGCAUGUCAAAAUAGUCUACCCACAAUGGAGAACUUACACAAGCGAAAAAUGGUAGCAGAUCCUCUCUGCUCCCUAUGUAGAGACCAAGUGGAAUCCACAUAGCAUCUCCUUCUCCUUUGUCCCUGGACGCAAGAAAUUUGGGCCCAACCAUCCCUAAACAUUCAGAAAACCCACCUUCUCUGUCGCUUGUAGCAACCAUCUUUAAAGGCCAACGAUCCCCUUGAGUUAGAGUCGGACAAUCUGACUUUAGUUAAAGCUAUGUAGAAUCCAGACCCUAUUCCAUGGGAUGCACACGCAAUCAUCUCCCAAUGCCUUGAUCUGUCAUCCGGCUUCUCACAUCUGUGUAUCACCCAUUGCCAUCGCGAAGCCAACUCCAUUGUGGACUGGGCCGCCAAAGCUCAGCGCCAAAAAACUUUGCCAAGGGAGUGGAUUUCUUCCCCUCCCCAAAUCGUUGGAUUUACUUCGUAAGGAAGCCCAGUUUUUGGCCCCUGUGUUUUCAAUUCGAAUUAAAGUUAAUCAAUUUAUGACCAAAAAAGAAAAAAAUUGGCUUCGUCACUGAAUAAGCAUAUCACCAAGUCAAUAGGUAAUUCACCACCUCUAGUGAUUUGCUAUAUAAUCCGCAUAUUCCGUGAUAUCUGCAUGGUUUAUGAUAACGACAUGUCCUACACCCAUAAAUAUAGAAAUAAGAUACUUCCACUAAUAGGAGAGAAUGUCAUAUGUUAAUAAUAUAUAUAUAAAAUCUAUCAAUCAAAUUUAAAAGGUUAGAUCUAUUCAUCAUAUAUAACUGUGCCGGGAGAACUUGAGGCAAAGUUGGUGUAAAUUUUUUAAUGCAUUUUGCCCUAUUGAAUUGGUUAAAUGAAAAUAGAGAAAAUGAGGUGUAAUUUUUAGUAAAUUAAAUCAAAACUGGCCAGGAACAAGAUUUCGAGUGCGUAUUCGUCAUCCAUUCCAAAUCCUCCCACAUGGUUAGUAUAGCGAGUCUUUCAUCAAUCAAGCUUCAGUAACCCAAAUAGAGCGCAGUCUCAAGCGAACAAACCUAGACUCUA
Molecule: long non-coding RNA, 87514 nt
Filed under: Eucalyptus grandis
Lineage: Eukaryota; Viridiplantae; Streptophyta; Magnoliopsida; Myrtales; Myrtaceae
Description: long non-coding RNA (EGRA_LNC005099)
Source: RNAcentral